Molecule: long non-coding RNA, 50778 nt
Filed under: Triticum aestivum (bread wheat)
Lineage: Eukaryota; Viridiplantae; Streptophyta; Magnoliopsida; Poales; Poaceae
Description: long non-coding RNA (TAES_LNC026899)
Source: RNAcentral
UUAUGGAAUUCACCGCCGCGGACAUCUUUCAAUACUCGCCUUUGGGCGAUAUCCCGAAUUCACUAAAACAUCUCUCGUUAUCAGGAGAGUCCUGGCCGAACUAUGGCCAGGAUGGUCGGGGUUCGGACGACGAAGAAAUUCAGAUCCCACCCACCACCCACUUUGUAGCCACUGUCGACGAUCUAACCGACAUGCUAGAUUACGACUCCGAAGACAUCGACGGAAUAGACGAUGAUGCCAGAGACGAACAAAAAACAGAGCUUAUACAGCACAACAGGACCACCUUGUCACAUGACAUAUAUAUGGUGGAUACCCCAAAGGGGAGCGAUAACGAGGAUCAACGGGCCACGGCAGAAGAUAAUCCCGCCGAUAAACGACCAAAGGGACGGCGCAAACGCCGCGCCAAGUCCCGCCUCGACGACAACAACGCUCCCAACGAGCCCGCUAUACGGCAGGGCUCACAAUCGGACGACGAACACACACAUAAGCAACCGUCCGAACACGACGAGUCAGAUAACCAAUCCAAGCCCGGCAAAGACAACAGUCCGGACGACCAUAUGCCUGACACGUCGCCGGAGAGUAAGAACCUUCGGAAAAGACUCGUCAGCACUGCAAGAAGCCUGAAGAAGGAAAAACGGAAGCUCAAAACAGCGGAAGACACACUCAGAAUGAGAUUGAGCAAAGUGCUCAACACCGCAGAUAAGUACGGCAAUGGCCACCAAUCAAAGAGCUACCCGAAGCGCAAGCUGCUACCGGAAUUCGACGAGGAGGCCAUAGAGCCUCCACCGUCCAAAAAUAAGGGGGCUGCCUGGUUGGAUAGACGGCCAGAGGACAAGCCAAAUUAUGAAAGCGGCACCACACAUAAAUCCACCAACGAACUCAGAAGGGUAGAUGUCCCAGCCAGGUCCAUUUAUGGGCCAAAGGAGAAGGCCCCAAGAAGCAAGGCAACACGUCAAGUGUCUGAUGAUAACGGCACACACAAAUACAGGGGCGCCGCACACCCGCUAUGUUUCACCGAUGAGGUGCUGGACCAUGAAUUCCCAGCAGGAUUUAAACCCAUCAACAUAGAGGCCUACGAUGGAACAACAGACCCUGGAGUCUGGAUAGAAGAUUAUAUACUGCAUAUACAUAUGGCCAGAGGAGAUGAUCUCCACGCCAUAAAAUAUUUACCACUCAAGCUCAAAGGGCCAGCCCGCCAUUGGCUUAAAAGCCUCCCAGAAAAUACUAUUGGAAGUUGGGAAGAGCUCGAGGACGCGUUUAGAGCAAAUUUUCAAGGGACUUAUGUCCGGCCUCCGGAUGCAGAUGAUCUAAGUCAUAUAACUCAACAGCCCGGAGAGUCAGCGCGGAAAUUCUAGAACAGGUUCCUUACCAAAAAGAACCAAAUAGUCGACUGUCCGGACGCCGAAGCCUUAGCAGCUUUCAAGCACAAUGUCCGAGAUGAAUGGCUUGCUAGGCACCUCGGUCAAGAAAAGCCGAGGACAAUGUCCGCACUAACAAGCCUCAUGACCCGCUUCUGUGCGGGCGAGGACAGCUGGUUAGCAAGAUGCAGCACCAGCGACCCGAGUACAUCCGAGAUAAGAGAUGGAAACGGAAAAUCACGGCGCAGAAAAGAUCAGCGCCGGAAUAAAGAGAAAAGCCCAAAGAGCACGGCAGUCAACGCCGAAUUUAAAAGCUCACGGCCCAAUACUAAAACACAGCCUCUAAAGGAUGACGGUGACGAAUUGUCCAACUUAAAGAAGAUCCUGGGUCGGAUAUGUCAAAUCCACAGUACCCCCGGAAGGCCUACAAACCACACCCACAGGGAUUGUUGGGUUUUUAAACAGUCCGGCCGACUAAAUGCCGAACACAAGGGGCUCGACGCGUCAAGCGAAGAAGACAAACCCCACCAGCAGAGCACCGUAAAACAAAAGACUUUCCCACAAGGGGUUAAAGCAGUAAACUCGCUCCAUGUGAUAAUACGGAAAAAUAGUGCGGCACUUUCUAAAAAGAGCUUCGCACGGUCCAACCAAGCAGACAAUAAAGAUUGGACAUCAAAACCAAUCACUUUCGACCACCUGGAUUAUUCCAGAAGCGUUCGAAAUGCGGGAUGAACUCCCCUGAUAUUGAAUCCCAUAAUAGACGGAUUACAAUUUACUAGUGUCCUAAUGGAUGGAGGCAGUGACUUAAACCUGCUGUACUCCAGAACCGUCCGUAGGAUGGGGAUAAACCCCGCCAAAAUCCGACACAGCCGCACUUCCUUCAAAGGAGUGACGCCAGGCCCUUACGCCAAGUGCACAGGCUCCAUAUUACUAGAAGUCAUGUUCGGAUUGCCGAACAAUUCUCGACGAGAAAAGUUAAUUUUUCACAUCGUCCCAUUUGAAAGUGAAUAUCAAGCACUCUUGGGACGUAAGGCUUUUGUCCGCUUCAACGCUAUACCACAUUACGCGUCUCUUACACUUAAGAUGCCCGGUCCACGUGGUGUCAUUUCAGUGCGAGGGUCACUUCAAGACCCCGGACUCGGAUAGACGAAUCCGGCGUCAGUAGGCUAGGGGAUCCCUAGCCGCAUACCCCUUCACAGGGGGCUGCGCGCACAAACAACCGCGGGUUCAUACAAACCCUGCUUUAACUAUUUAUAUUUUUUAUUCUACAUAUUUUCCGCACAAAUUGUUUUUACACUAAAAGUUCCUCUGUUUCUACAGAUGAGCGAUGUGCAUACCCGUCCAGGAUAACGGCGCAAUGGAGACACAGGCGCAGACGUGCAGUAGGGACCCGUUGUGAGGAUUCUUUUCAGAUUAAGACCCUGCGUAAACCUUUUUUUACUGUCUCUUGUUGUUAUUCUCCCUCGGCUUCUUCUUAUAGCCAAAGCGGAGCCUGACGCUUUGGCAUCGGCCGCGUCAGAAGACCAUGCCCGUACUCGGACACUAGGGGCUUAGGGCAUCAUUCUGCCCAUUAUUAUAAAGACCGAACACCUUAGGGAGUGUUCGGCGUCUCGAGUUAGGCAUUAUAUGCAUCAGCUCCGAAUCAUGUCUUUGGUCAAAUGUUGGGUUUGCCCGGCUCCUGUGUUUUGCUGCCUUACGUUCCAUAUCAUCGGCUAACGCGGCACCAGGAGAACUACUGCGAUUGUGCCCCGGUUCGGCUGGGCAAGCACCUCAGUAGAGAAAGCCGAAAACUGACUGUCAUGAUACAGCGAGAGACUGGUCAACCACUCGAUCGCCAUUUGGAAUGUUUAGAAUUCCCCGCUUUGACGAAGGACCGUUUCCCGGUCAGGCACUUACGCACCCCGAAUUCGGAGAGGUGCGGGGCCACCAGGGGCUAUAUCGUAGCCCCACCCUCGAGCUCCACUGGCUAAGUGAAAGAGAUAAAGCAUUAUAGUCCGGAUUGCCUCGUUCGCUAUGCUAACACCUCCUUAUAACAGGACCGAGACGUCGGAUUAAGUGUGAAAACGCGCUAUUUUGCGAACACCCCAGCACCUUGUGCGAGGGGGCUGAAGCCGAAGACUACAUCUUUCAGGUUAUACACAAGUAUACGUAAACGGCCGCACAGGAGAAGUUUUACUACUUGUACGCACAAGUAUAAAAAGCAGUCAUACCAUAAUCAUUGAUCUACAAGUUAAUGCGUUCAAUUGAACGUUACAUUCUUCGAGCAUUGCGACUCUAUUACACGAGCGCCACGCAUAACCUCCCCGAAAUAGUGCUCGGCAGGGAGCCGGUUUCCAUCCGAACCCUCGGCAGCAACAGUGGUGGCGUCCAUCUCCGGACACCGCGCCUUCACACGGGCCAGAGCCAUCCGCGCGCCCUCGAUGCAGGCCGACCGCUUCAUCUCCUUGAUAUGCGGCACCGCCCCAAGGAAUUGCUGCAAUAAGCCGAAGUAGCUCGUCGCCUUGGACCUCUCUGGCCAUACAUGGGCCACGAUGUCAGUCAUGGCUAGUCCGGACAAUCUAUUUAGUUCGGCCCAUUCGGCCAACCGGUCCGUCAGCGGAAGAGGGCGAUCCGGACUGUGGAAUUGAGACCAAUAUAACUCUUCCGUCUCGUGAUCCCCCUGGCUCCGGAAGUGCUUAACGGCAUCAGCCGCACUCGCAACCAAGUCCAUAUACGGAUCCUCCGAACUCCACAGCCGCUCAAAUUGAGCGUACUUUGCAUCCAUAAACCGGCGACGCAUCAGAAAAGGCUUGCCAGCCGCGAUUUCUCCGGCUUGGCGCAACUCCUCCUUCAUAGCCCGCAUUGCAGAGCGGGCAUCCUUGGCUUCGGCGGUGGCCUUCUUCAGGUCUUCCCGCUCCGAUAAGCGCUCCUUUUUAAGAGCCUCAUUGCGGUCGGUAGCAUCCUUUACUUUCGUGGCCAAUUCGGCCACCUCCGCCCUGCUUAGGCAGUGCGCCGCCUUUUCCGCUUUCAACUCCUCGGCCGCCUUUGAGGCAGCAGCGUCACUCCUUCGAGCUUGCUCCUUAGCUAGAGCAAGUUCGGCCCGAAGGCUCUCCACAGCAGCAGCACUGUCUGUAUAAAUAGCAUAUAACUUAUCAGAGGCGGGCUUUGACCCACUCAAUAAAGCGGCUGCGGAGAACUAUUUUACCUUGCGACUCGUCAAGUCGCCUGUUGACAAGUGCGAUGUCCUCAUCUGCCAGGUCAAGUUGCCGAGUUAAUUCGGCAACAUCACUAGUCCGGCUAGCCCCCGGACCAUCCGCCACCUGCAUAGGAAUGACGGAAUACAUUACUUAAGAUUUCGAUCCUCAGUACGCUGUCGUUCCCGACAACCUACCGAGUCUCAGGGGCUACUAUCUAUACAGGGCGCAUUUUUUAUAUGCAAAACUACUAAAAGACAAAGGGGUGCGCCAUUUUCGCAUACCUCAAAUCCCGCCAGCAAGCUCAUGGCGGCAUUACACAAUCCGCUUUCAGCGGACGAAAUCCUUCUAAUCACCAUACGCAUUAACGCGCGGUGAUCUUCUGAAAUGGACGCCCUCUCAAGCAGAUUCUUCAGUUCUCCCGGCCGGACUUUGGUGGGUGUCAAACUCUCUGGCCCCUCCGGACUCGGGGACGCCCUCCGUGACGACACUUCGGGUUCGCCUGCCUCAUCUGGCGGCGCUGCAGACGGAGGCGUAUCGCUCUCCAUCAUCUCCGGAAGAAGGUCCCCCGAAGAUGAACUCAUCUGGGAAGGCUGCAGAUCCGAACUGCGAUAUAAAUAUUUCGGUUACCCACAGAAGCACAAAUGAAGGUACUUCCUUACUAAUUAACUUCCUCUUUCAUACUCACGGCUCGUUGGAGGGCUGGUCCUUCGGCGAUGAUUGCGCGUCCGGAUUGUCUCCGGACGCCGGACCCCCCGGUGAGGAUUUCUUCCCACGCUUAGGGGCUUUGGCCUCUGGAUAUUCGGAGGCGGUCCUCUUCUCCCUCUGAAGGGGGGGGGGGUUCUUGGUUCCCUCCUCUUCAGUCGCCCCUUCGGGCGAAGUAUUAGCUCCUUUAUUUCCCCCGUCGCCCCCCUUUGUGGGCGCGACCUCCAACAUUCUGACCAGCACGGGCUCCAGUGCGGUCUCUGGGAGGGGGGCCGGACACCUUAUCAGCCUUGAUCGCGCCACCCAUUCCUGUAAAGAAAAAAGGGUCAGGAGACGAACUUUUGAAAGGCAUAUAAAUAGAAUGUCCGGACUCUGAGCUAUUUACCUGAGUAUCCGGGCGAUCGCGGCUUAGGCCUGCGUCCUCGGCCGAAUCCGGACACGCCACCUGCGGUCCGAAGAACAGCUUGUACAUCUCCGUGGGUGACGCACACAUAAAAUGUUGAAGAAUACGAGGUCCCUCCGGAUUGUACUCCCAUAGACGGAGAGGACGGCGUUUGCAGGGCGGAAGAUGUCUGAUUAGCAUAACCUGCAUCACCUUGAUCAGGUCGAUCUCCCUCAUUUGGAGGUCUCGAAUCCGGCCCUACAGUGAAGGCACGUCCUCGGAUGGCCCCCAGUUGAGCCCUUGGUUGACCCACGACAUCAGUUGGCGUGGAGGUCCCGGGCGGAAUAAGGGCGGCGGCUUUUUCCUGCUGCCCCUCGGAGCGGUGAUGUAGAACCACUCCUGCUGCCACAGUCCGAGUUCCUCUUGGAAGGAACCCUCGGGCCACGGGGCAUCGACCUUUUUGCUUAUGGUCGCCCCGCCGCACUCCGCUUGACGCCCCCCGAUCAUCUUCGGCUCCACCUUAAAAGUCUUCAGCCAUAGGCCGAAGUGGGGAAUGACGCGGAGGAAGGAUUCGCAGACGAUAAUGAAUGCGGAGAUAUGGAGGAUGGACUUCGGAGCCAAGUCGUGAAAGUCCAGCCCGUAGUAGAACAGGAGCCCUCUCACGAAGGGAUCCGUCGGGAAGCCUAAUCCUCAACGGAGGUGAGAUAUGAAAACGAUGUAUUCGCUGGGCUCGGGGGCUGGCACGGCCUGCCCUGGGGCGGGCAACCUGUGCGAAACCUCGUAGGCCAGGUACUUGGCCUCACGCAACUUCAAUAUGUCCUCCUCCGUGACGGAGGAGGGCAUCCACCGGCCCUGGAGGUCGGAGCCGGACAUGGUUGAGGAUCCGAAGCGCUCGAAUCUGAAGCUCUAGGUGUUGGAACUGGGAGCGGAGGAAAGAUUCAAUGUGAGAUUGAAGAACAAGGACAAGCCUUGGUCCUCUUAUAAAGGGGAAGAAAUACCAAGGGCCGUCUUCGUGACCGUUUGGGGUUCCCCUUCGAUAGAGGAGGCGUGGCGAUGGGAACGGUUGGGUUACCCACACACGUAUUGAUGAGGAUCCCGGAAUAGAGGGGACACGAUCUCUGCUUUGACAAGACGUGCCAAGGAAACCGCCUCGCUAAACGUGCCGAGGUGGAAUAAUAAAAAACGAUUCAAACAAAGGCUUGGAAGCGGUGUGAUGUCACGCCGCAUAAUACGUCAGCAGAUUGAGCUAGUGUAUAUAUCUUAUUCUCUCUACGAUAGAAUGUGGAAAUUAUUUUUGCAGAGCCGGACACUAUCCUAGUGUUCAUGACCUUCUCUGGAUUAUUCAGGAGAGGAACCCGCCUUGCAACGCCGAACAUUAUGCACGCCGGACUUGUCGUCAUUGAAGACUGGUUCAGGGGCUACUGAGGGAGUCCUGGACUAGGGGGUGUCCGGACAGCCGGACUAUCAUUAUCCGCUGGACUCCAAGACUACGAAGAUAGAAGAUUGAAGACUCCGGCUCGUGUCCGGAAGGUACUUUCCUUGGCGUGGAAGGCAAGCUUGGCAAUACGGAUAUGUAGAUCUCCUACCAUUGUAACCGACUCUGUGUAACCCUAGCCUCUCCGGUGUCUAUAUAAACCGGAGGGCUUUAGUCCGUAGGACAACAUACAUUACAACAAUCAUACCAUAGGCUAGCUUCUAGGGUUUAGCAUCCUUGAUCUCGUGGUAGAUCUACUCUUGUACUACCCACAUCAUCAAUAUUAAUCAAGCAGGACAUAGGGUUUUACCUCCAUCGAGAGGGCCCGAACCUGGGUAAAAACAUUGUGUCCCUUGUCUCCUGUUACCAUCCGCCUAGAUGCACAGUUCGGGACCCCCUACCCGAGAUCCGCCGGUUUUGACACCGACACCUCUUCUUCCCGCGAGGGGAGGAGACCUUAGAUUCCCCUUCCUGAGUAUCCUCCUUUGGGGAGGUAGCAAUUCCCCCGGUUUGGAUGUGCAAUGUGUGAAGUCCUACUUCUUUGUUCUUCCCUUCGCCUUUCCCCGAGGGCACUUUACUUAGCACACGACCGAGCAUCUUGGCUAUGGAGGGGCUAGGCGAGCCUUCGGGAAGUGGCGCUGGACACCUGGUUCUCUCCGCCUUGCUGAGCCAUUCCUGGCCAUGGAGGAUUUUCAGAAUAAUGUUAUGAUAAAUAUAAACGAAGUGUUCGGUUUCCGGGUUACUUACUUGGCUAUCUGGGCGAUUGCAGCUCAGGCCCGCAUCCUCGGUGGUGUCCGUACACUUUACUUGUGGUCCGAAGAAUAACUUACACAUCCCUUCAAGCGUCAGGCCGAAUAAGUGCAGAAUAGUCCGCGGACCUUCCGGAUUGAACUCCCACAUCCGGAGAGGCCGGCGUUUGCACGACAACAUCCGCCGGACUAGCAUUACCUGAAUUAUGCUGACAAGGCUAAUGUCCCUCUCAAGAAGCUCCCGGAUACGGCUCUACAGUGUUGGUACAUCAUUAACAGACCCCCAAUCCCGUCCUACAUUGGUCCAUGACGCCAGUUGAGGAGGAGGGCCCAACGGAAGUCGGGGGCAGCCACCCACUUUGUGCCUCUGGGAGCCGUGACGUAAAACCAGCUCCGCUGCCAUAGAUCGGACACCUCUGGGAAGGAUCCCUCUGGCCAUGGGGCGUCGGCGUCCUGCUUAUUACAACACCUCCGCACUCCGCGUGUCACCCCUCAAUCAUCUUUGGCUUCACAUUGAAGGUCUUGAGCCAUAAGCCGAAGUGUGGAGUGACAUGGAGAAAAGCUUCGCACACAACGAUGAACGACGAGAUGUGGAGAACGGCGUCUGGAGCCAGAUCGUGAAAAUCUAGCAUGUAAUAGAACAUGAGCCCUCUCACAAAGGGAUCAAGGGUGAAGUCUAAGCCGCGGAGGAAGUGAGAAACAAAUACGACGCUCUCGUUGGGCUUGGGAAUAGGGAUGACCUGCCCUGGAGCAGGAAGCCUGUGCUUGAUGUCGGCGGUCAGAUAUCCGACCCCCCUAAGCUUCACAAUGUCCUCUUCUGUGACCGAGGAGGCCAUCCACCAGCCUUGAAGGUUGGAUCCGGACAUGAUUGAGGAUCCGAAGUGCUUGAGCUUGGGCUUCGGGUGUUAGAACUGAAGGAAAUAUGCCCUAGAGGCAAUAAUAAAGUUAUUAUUUAUUUCCUUAUUUCAUGAUAAAUGUUUAUUAUUCAUGCUAGAAUUGUAUUAACCGGAAACAUAAUACAUGUGUGAAUACAUAGACAAAACUAUAGUCACUAGUAUGCCUCUACUUGACUAGCUCAUUAAUCAAAGAUGGUUAUGUUUCCCAACCAUAGACAUGUGUUGUCAUUUGAUUAGUGGGAUCACAUCAUUAGAAGAAUGAUGUGAUUGACAUGACCCAUUCUGUUAGCCUAGCACUUGAUCGUUUAGUAUACUGCUAUUGCUUUCUUCAUGACUUAUACAAAGUUCCUGCAACUAUGAGAUUGUGCAACUCCCGUUUACCGGAAGAACACUUUGUGUGCUACCAAACGUCACAACGUAACUGGGUGAUUAUAAAGGUGCUCUACAGGUGUUUCCGAAGGUACAUGUUGAGUUGGCAUAAUUCGAGAUUAGGAUUUGUCACUCCGAUUGUCGGAGAGGUAUCUCUGGGCCCUCUCGGUAGUACUCAUCACCUAAGCCUUGCAAGCAUGUAACUAAUGAGUUAGUUAUGAGAUGACGUAUUACGGAACGAGUAAAGAGACUUGCCGGUAACGAGAUUGAACUAGGUAUUGGAUACCGACGAUCAAAUCUCGGGCAAGUAACAUACCGAUGACAAAGGGAACAACGUAUGUUGUUGUGCGGUUUGACCGAUAAAGAUCUUCGUAGAAUAUGUAGGAACCAAUAUGGGCAUCCAGGUCCUGCUAUUGGUUAUUGACCGGAGACGUGUCUCGGUCAUGUCUACAUUGUUCUCGAACCGUAGGGUCCGCACGCUUAAGGUUUCGAUGACAAUUAUAUUAUGAGUUUAUGAGUUUUGAUGUACCGAAGGAGUUCGGAGUCCCGGAUGAGAUCGGGGACAUGACGAGGAGUCUCGAAAUGGUCGAGACGUAAAGAUCGACAUAUUGGACGACUAUAUUCGGAGUUCAGAAAGGUUCCGAGUGAUUCGGGUAUUUUUCGGAGUACCGGAGAGUUACGGGAAUUCGUAUUGGGCCUCAUUGGGCCAUACGGGAAAAGAGAGAGAGGGCCUAAAGGGUGGCCGCACCCCUCCCCUUUGGCUAGUCCGAAUUGGACUAGGGAGGGGGGGCGCCCCCUUCCUUCCUUCUCCUUCUCUCUUCCCUUUCCUUCUCUUCUACUCCUACUAUAUGGAAGGGUUACUAGUUGGACUAGGAAAGGGGGAAUCCUACUCCCGGUGGGAGUAGGACUCCCCUAGGGCGCGCCAUAGAGAGAGGGCCGGCCCUCCCCCUCCUCCACUCCUUUAUAUACGGGGGUAGGGGCACCCCAUAGACACACAAGUUGAUCAUUGAUCGUUCCUUAGCCGUGUGCGGUGCCCCCCUCCACGAUAUUACACCUCGAUCAUAUUGUAGCGGUGCUUAGGCGAAGCCCUGCGACAGGAGAACAUCAAGAUCGUCACCGUGCCGUCGUGCUGACGGAACUCCCCCUCGGAGCCUCUAUUGGAUUGGAGAUCGAGGGUGCGUCAUCAAGCUGUACGCGUGUCAAGAACUCGGAGGUGCCGGAGUAACGGUGCUUGGAUCGGUCGGACCGGGAGGACGUACGACGACUUCCUCUACGUUGCGUCAACGCUUCCGCUUCGGUCUACGAGGGUACGUAGACAACACUCUCCCCUCGUUGCUAUAUCAUCACCAUGAUCUUGUGUGUGCGUAGGAAAUUUUUUGAAAUUACUACGUUCCCCAGCAGUGGCAUCCGAGCCUAGGAUUUUAUGGUUUGAUGUUAUUUGCACGAGUAGAACACAAGUGAGUUGUGGGCGAUAUAAGUCAUACUGCUUACCAGCAUGUCAUACUUUGGUUCAGCGGUAUUGUUGGAUGAAGCGGCCCGGACCGACAUUACGCGUACGCUUACGCGAGACUGGUUUUACCGCCGUGCUUUGCACACAGGUGACUAGCGGGUGUCUGUUUCUCCAACUUUAGUUGAACCGAGUGUGGCUACGCCCGGUCCUUGCGAAGGUUAAAACAGCAUCAACUUGACAAACUAUCGUUGUGGUUUUGAUGCGUAGGUGAGAUUGGUUCUUGCUUAAGCCCGUAGCAGCCACGUAAAAUUUGCAACAACAAAGUAGAGGACGUCUAACUUGUUUUUGCAGGGCAUGUUGUGAUGUGAUAUGGUCAAGACGUGAUGCUAUAUUUUAUUGUAUGAGAUGAUCAUGUUUUGUAACCGAAGUUAUCGGCAACUGGCAGGAGCCAUAUGGUUGUCGCUUUAUUGUAUGAAAUGCAAACGCCCUGUAAUUGUUUUACUUUAUCACUAAGCGGUAGCGAUAGUCGUAGUUGCAAUAGAUGGCGUAAUGACAACGAUGCUACGAUGGAGAUCAAGGUGUCGCGCCGGUGACGAUGGUGAUCACGACGGUGCUUCGAAGAUGGAGAUCACAAGCACAAGAUGAUGAUGGCCAUAUCAUAUCACUUAUAUUGAUUGCAUGUGAUGUUUAUCCUUUAUGCAUCUUAUCUUGCUUUGAUUGACGGUAGCAUUUUAAGAUGAUCUCUCACUAAAAUUAUCAAGAAGUGUUCUCCCUGAGUAUGCACCGUUGCCAAAGUUCGUCGUGCCGAGACACCACGUGAUGAUCGGGUGUGAUAAGCUCUACGUCUAUCUACAACGGGUGCAAGCCAGUUUUGCACACGCGGAAUACUCAGGUUAUACUUGACGAGCCUAGCAUAUGCAGAUAUGGCCUCGGAACACGGAGACCGAAAGGUCGAGCGUGAAUCAUAUAGUAGAUAUGAUCAACAUAGUGAUGUUCACCAUUGAAAACUACUCCAUCUCACGUGAUGAUCGGUCAUGGUUUAGUUGAUUUGGAUCACGUAAUCACUUAGAUGACUAGAGAGAUGUCUGUCUAAGUGGGAGUUCGUAAGUAAUAUGAUUAAUUGAACUUUAAUUUAUCAUGAACUUAGUCCUGGUAGUAUUUUGCAAAUUAUGUUGUAAGAUCAAUAAGCUUGCGUUGUUGCUUUCAUAUGUUUAUUUUGAUGUGUUCCUAGAGAAAAUUGUGUUGAAAAAUGUUAGUAGCAAUGAUGCGGAUUUGAUCCGUGAUCUGAGGUUUAUCCUCAUUGCUGCACAGAAGAAUUAUGUCCUUGAUGCACCGCUAGGUGACAGACCUAUUGCAGGAGCAGAUGCAGACGUUAUGAACGUUUGGCUAGCUCAAUAUGAUGACUACUUGAUAGUUUAGUGCACCAUGCGUAACGGCUUAGAAUCGGGACCUCAAAGACGUUUUGAACGUCAUGGACCAUAUAAGAUGUUCCAGGAGUUGAAGUUAAUAUUUCAAGCAAAUACCCGAGUUGAGAGAUAUGAAGUCUCCAACAAGUUCUAUAGCUAAAAGAUGGAGGAGAAUCGCUCAACUAGUGAGCAUGUGCUCAGAUUGUCUGGGUACUACAAUCGCUUGAAUCAAGUGGGAGUUAAUCUUCUAGAUAAGAUAGUGAUUGACAGAAUUCUCUAGUCACCAUCACCAAGUUAGUAGAACUUCGUGAUGAACUAUAGUAUGCAAGGGAUGAUGAAAAUGAUUCCCGAGCUCUUCGUGAUGUUGAAAUCGACGAAGGUAGAAAUCAAGAAAGAGCAUCAAGUGUUGAUGAUUGACAAGAUCACUAGUUUCAAGAAAAGGGCAAAGGGAAAGAAAGGGGAACUUCAAGUAGAUUGACAAGCAAGUUGUCACUCCCACGAAGAAGCCCAAAGCUGAACCAAAGCCUGAAACUGAGUGCUUACACUGCAAAGGAAAUGGUCACUGGAAGCGGAACUGCCCUAAAUAUUUGGUGGAUAAGAAGGAUGGCAAAGUGAAAAAGGGUAUAUUUGAUAUACAGAUGUUUGAUGUGUGCUUUACUAGUGUUUAUAGCAACCCCUCGGUAUUUGGUACUGGUUCAGUUGCUAAGAGUAGUAACUCGAAACGGGAGUUGCAGAAUAAACAGAAACUAGUUAAGGGUGAAGUGAUGAUGUGUGUUGAAAGUAGUUUCAAGAUUGAAAUGAUCAUCAUCGCACACUCCCUAUACUUUCGGGAUUAGUGUUGAACCUAAAUAAGUGUUAUUUGGUGUUUGCGUUGAGCAUGAAUAUGAUUUGAUCAUGUUUAUUGCAAUACGGUUAUUCAUUUAAGUAAGAGAAUAAACUGUUGUUCUGUUUACAUGAAUAAAACCUUAUAUGGUUACACACCCAAUGAAAAUGGUUCAUUGGAUCUUGAUCAUAGUGAUACACAUAUUCAUAAUAUUGAAACCAAAAGAUGCAAAGUUAAUAAUGAUAGUGCAACUUAUUUGUGGCACUGCCGUUUAGGUCAUAUCGGUGUAAAGCGCAUGAAGAAACUCCAUGCUGAUGGGAUUUUGGAAUCACUUGAUUAUGAAUCACUUGAUGCUUGCGAACCAUGCCUCAUGGGCAAGAUGACUAAGACUCCGUUCUCCGGAACAAUGGAGCGAGCAACAGAUUUGUUGGAAAUCAUACAUACUGAUGUAUGUCGUCCGAUGAAUAUUAAGGCUCGCGACAAGUAUCAUUAUUUUCUGACCUUCACAGUUGAUUUGAAGCAGAUAUGAGUAUAUCUACUUGAUGAAACACAAGUCUUAAACAUUUAAAAAGUUCAAAGAAUUUCAGAGUGAAGUAGAGAAUCAUCGUAACAAGAAAAUAAAAGUUUCUACGAUAUGAUCGCAGAAGUAAAAUAUUUGAGUUACGAGUUUGGUCUUCAAUUAAAACAAUGUGUAAUAGUUUCACAAAUUCAUGCCACCUGGAACACCACAUCAUAAUGGUGUUUCCGAACGUCAUAACCGUACUUUAUUGGAUAUAGUACAAUCCAUGAUGUUUCUUACCGAUUUACCAAUAUCGUUUUGGGAUCAUGCAUUAGAGACAGCUGCAUUCACGUUAAAUAGGGCACCAUCUAAAUCCGUUGAGACGACACUAUAUGAACUGUGGUUUAGCAAGAAACCAAAGUUGUCGUUUCUUAAAGUUUGGGGCUGCGAUGCUUAUGUGAAAAAGUUUCAUCCUGAUAAGCUCAAACCCAAAUCGGAGAAGUGCGUCUUCAUAGAAUACCCAAAGGAAAUUGUUGGGUACACCUUCUAUCACAGAUCCGAAGGCAAAACAUUCAUUGCUAAUAAUGGAUCCUUUCUAGAGAAGGAGUUUCUCUCGAAAGAAGUGAGUGGGAGGAAAGUAGAACUUGAUGAGAUAAUUGUACCUUCUCCCUUAUUGGAAAGUAGUUCAUCACAGAAAUCUGUUCCUGUGACUACUACACCAAUUAGUGAGGAAGCUAAUGAUGAUGAUCAUGUAACUUCAGAUCAAGUUACUACCGAAUAUCAUAGCUAAACCAGAGUGAGAUCCGCACCAGAGUGGUACGGUAAUCCUGUUCUGGAAGUCAUGUUACUAGACCAUGAUAAACCUAUGAACUAUGAGGAAGCGAUGAUGAGCCCAGAUUCCGCGAAAUGGCUUGAGGCCGUGAAAUCUGAGAUUGGAUCCAUGUAUGAAAACAAAGUGUGGACUUUGGUGGAGUUGCCCGUUGAUCGGCAAGCCAUAUUGUAUAAAUGGAUCUUUAAGAGGAAGACGGACGUUGAUAGUAGUGUUACUAUCUACAAAGCUCGACUUGUCGCAGAAGAGUUUUCGACAAGUUCAAGGUGUUGACUACAAUGAGAUUUUCUCAACUGUAGCAAUGCUUAAGUCUGUCCGAAUCAUGUUAGCAAUUGCCACAUUUUAUGAAAUCUGGCAAAUGGAUGUCAAAACUGCAUUCCUUAAUGGUUUUCUUAAAGAAGAGUUGUAUAUGAUGCAACCAGAAGGUUUUGUCAAUCCUAAAGGUGUUAACAAAAUGUGCAAGCUCCAGCGAUCCAUCUAUGGACUGGUGCAAGCAUCUCAGAGUUGGAAUAUACGUUUUGAUAUGUUGAUCAAAGCAUAUAGUUUUGUACAGACUUAUGAUGAAGCCUGUAUUUACAAGAAAGUGAGUGGGAGCACUACAACAUUUCUGAUAAGUAUAUGUGAAUAACAUAUUGUUGAUCGGAAAUAAUGUAGAAUUAUUCUGCAAAGCAUGAAAGGAUACUUGAAUAAGAGUUUUUCAAAGAAAGACCUCGGUGAAGCUACUUACACAUUGAGCAUCAAGAUCUAUAUAGAUAGAUCAAGACGCUUGAUAAGAAUUUUCAAUGAAUACAUACCUUGAUAAAUUUUUGAAAUAGUUCAAAAUGGAACAGUCAAAGAAGGAGUUCUUGCCUGUGUUGCAAGGUGUGAAAUUGAGUAAGACUCAAGACCCGACCAUGGCAGAAAAUAGAAAGAGAAUGAAAAGUCAUUCCCUAUGCCUCAGUCAUAGGUUCUAUAAAGUAUGCUAUGCUGUGAACCAGACCUAUGGUAUACCUUGCUCUGAAUUUGGCAAGGGAGUACAAUAGUGAUCUAGGAGUAGAUCACUGAACAUUGGUCAAGAAUAUCCUUAGUAAGGACUAAGGAGAUGUUUCUCGAUUAUGGAGGUGAUAAAAGAGUUUGUUGUAAAAGUUACAUCAGUGCAAACUUUUACACUGAUCCAGAUGACUCUAAGUCUCAACCUGGAUACAUAUUGAAAGUGGGAGCAAUUAGCUAGAGUAGCUCCGUGCAGAGCAUUGUGGACAUAAAAUAUUUGCAAAAUACAUACGGCUCUGAAUGUGACAGACCCAUUGACUAAGCUUCUCUCACGAGCAAAACAUGAUCACACCUUAGUACUCUUUGGGUGUUAAUCACAUAGCGAUGUGAACUAGAUUAUUGACUCUAGUAAACCCUUUGGAUGUUGGUCACAUGAUAAUGUGAACUAUGGGUGUUAAUCAUAUACAGAUAUGAAUAUUGGUGUUAAAUCACAUGGCGAUGUGAACUAGAUUAUUGACUCUAGUGCAAGUGGGAGACUGAAGGAAAUAUGCCCUAGAGGCAAUAAUAAAGUUAUUAUUUAUUUCCUUAUUUCAUGAUAAAUGUUUAUUAUUCAUGCUAGAAUUGUAUUAACCGGAAACAUAAUACAUGUGUGAAUACAUAGACAAAACUAUAGUCACUAGUAUGCCUCUACUUGACUAGCUCAUUAAUCAAAGAUGGUUAUGUUUCCCAAUCAUAGACAUGUGUUGUCAUUUGAUUAGUGGGAUCACAUCAUUAGAAGAAUGAUGUGAUUGACAUGACCCAUUCUGUUAGCCUAGCACUUGAUCGUUUAGUAUACUGCUAUUGCUUUCUUCAUGACUUAUACAAAGUUCCUGCAACUAUGAGAUUGUGCAACUCCCGUUUACCGGAAGAACACUUUGUGUGCUACCAAACGUCACAACGUAACUGGGUGAUUAUAAAGGUGCUCUACAGGUGUUUCCGAAGGUACAUGUUGAGUUGGCAUAAUUCGAGAUUAGGAUUUGUCACUCCGAUUGUCGGAGAGGUAUCUCUGGGCCCUCUCGGUAGUACUCAUCACCUAAGCCUUGCAAGCAUGUAACUAAUGAGUUAGUUAUGAGAUGACGUAUUACGGAACGAGUAAAGAGACUUGCCGGUAACGAGAUUGAACUAGGUAUUGGAUACCGACGAUCAAAUCUCGGGCAAGUAGCAUACCGAUGACAAAGGGAACAACGUAUGUUGUUGUGCGGUUUGACCGAUAAAGAUCUUCGUAGAAUAUGUAGGAACCAAUAUGGGCAUCCAGGUCCCGCUAUUGGUUAUUGACCGGAGACGUGUCUCGGUCAUGUCUACAUUGUUCUCGAACCGUAGGGUCCGCACGCUUAAGGUUUCGAUGACAGUUAUAUUAUGAGUUUAUGAGUUUUGAUGUACCGAAGGAGUUCGGAGUCCCGGAUGAGAUCGGGGACAUGACAAGGAGUCUCGAAAUGGUCGAGACGUAAAGAUCGAUAUAUUGGACGACUAUAUUCGGAGUUCGGAAAGGUUCCGAGUGAUUCGGGUAUUUUUCGGAGUACCGGAGAGUUACGGGAAUUCGUAUUGGGCCUCAUUGAGCCAUACGGGAAAAGAGAGAGAGGGCCUAAAGGGUGGCCGCACCCCUCCCCUUUGGCUAGUCCGAAUUGGACUAGGGAGGGGGGGCGCCCCCUUCCUUCCUUCUCCUUCUCUCUUCCCUUUCCUUCUCUUCUACUCCUACUAUAUGGAAGGGUUACUAGUUGGACUAGGAAAGGGGGAAUUCUACUCCCGGUGGGAGUAGGACUCCCCUAGGGCGCGCCAUAGAGAGAGGGCCGGCCCUCCCCCUCCUCCACUCCUUUAUAUACGGGGGUAGGGGCACCCCAUAGACACACAAGUUGAUCAUUGAUCGUUCCUUAGCCGUGUGCGGUGCCCCCCUCCACGAUAUUACACCUCGAUCAUAUUGUAGCGGUGCUUAGGCGAAGCCCUGCGACAGGAGAACAUCAAGAUCGUCACCACGCCGUCGUGCUGACGGAACUCCCCCUCGGAGCCUCUACUGGAUUGGAGAUCGAGGGUGCGUCAUCGAGCUGUACGCGUGUCAAGAACUCGGAGGUGCCGGAGUAACGGUGCUUGGAUCGGUCGGAUCGGGAGGACGUACGACUACUUCCUCUACGUUGCGUCAACGCUUCCGCUUCGGUCUACGAGGGUACGUAGACAACACUCUCCCCUCGUUGCUAUAUCAUCACCAUGAUCUUGCGUGUGCGUAGGAAAUUUUUUGAAAUUACUACGUUCCUCAACAAGAACUCGAGAUGCGAAAAGGCGCAAGAGUGGUGGAAAAGAGGGAUAGGCCUCGGCCCCUUUAUAAAGGGGGUGAAUAUUGAUACGUCCAUUUUGCAUCAUGCUUUUAUAUCAAUAUUUAUUGCAUUAUGGGCCGUUAUUACACAUUAUAUCUCAAUACUUAUGGCUAUUCUCCCUUAUCUUACAAGGUUUACCAUGAAGAGGGGGGAUGCCGGCAGCUAGAAUUCUGGCUGGAAAAGGAGCAAACAUUGGAAACCUAUUGCACAACUCCAAAAGACCUGAGACUCCACGAAACAACUUUUCAGAUUUAAUAAGAUUUUUUGGGCGAAAGAAAUAGGCUAGGGGGCCCACACCCUGUCCAGGAGACAGGGGGCGCGCCCCCUAUCUCCUGGGCCCCCUGGUGGGCUUCCGGCUGCCAUCUUCUGCUAUAUGAAGGGUUUUGUCCUGGAAAAAAUUGUGGGCAAGCUUACGGGACGAAACUCCACCGCCACGAGGCGGAACCUUGUCAGAAUCAAUCUAGGGCUCUGGCGAAGCUAUUCUGCCAGGGACAAUUCCCUCCGGGAGGGGGAAAUCAUCACCAACGUCAUCACCAACGAUCCUCUCAUCGGGAGGGGGUCAAUCUACAUCAACAUCUUCACCAGCACCAUCUCCUCUCAAAACCCUAGUUCAUCUCUUGUAUCCAAUCUUGUAUCAAAACCACAAAUUGGUACCUGUGGGUUGCUAGCAGUGUUGAUUACUCCUUGUAGUUGAUGCUAUUUGGUUUACUUGGUGGAAUAUCAUAUGUUCAGAUCCUUUAUGCAUAUUAUUACCCCUCUGAUUAUGAACAUGAAUAUGCUUUAUGAGUAGUUACAUUUGUUCCUGAGGACAUGGGUGAAGUCUUGCUAUUAGUAGUCAUGUGAAUUUGGUAUUCGUUCGAUAUUUUGAUGAGAUGUAUGUUGUCUCUCCUCUAGUGGUGUUAUGUGAACGUCGGCUACAUGACACUUCACCAUUAUUUGGGCCUAGAAGAAGGCAUAGGGAAGUAAGAAGUAGAUGAUGGGUUGCUAGAGUGACAGAAGCUUAAACCCUAGUUUAUGUGUUGCUUCGUUAGGGGUUGAUAUGGACCCAUAUGUUUAAUGUUGUGGUUAGGUUUACCUUAAUACUCCUUUUUGUAGUUGCGGAUGCUUGCAAUAGGGGUUAAUCAUAAGUGGGAUGCUUGUCCAUGUUAGGGCAGUAACCAGGUGCCGGUUCACCCACAUAUCAAAUUAUCAAAGUACCGAACGCGAAUCUUAUGAACGUGAUGAAAACUAGCUUGACGAUAAUUCCCAAUGUGUCCUCGGGAGCUCCUUCUUCGUUAUUAGAGUUUGUCCAGGCUUAUCCUUUGCUACAUAAAGGAUUGGGCCACCUUGCUGCACUUUACUUACUUUAUUUACUUUUUGUUCGUUACUAUUUAUCUUAUCACAAAACUUUCUAUCACCUACUAUUUCAGUGCUUGCAGAGAAAACCUUACUGAAAACCGCUUAUCAUUUCCUUCUGCUCCUCGUUGGGUUCGACACUCUUACUUAUCGAAAGGACUAUGAUAGAUCCCCUAUACUUGUGGGUCAUCAAGACUCUUUUCUGGCGCCGUUGCCGGGGAGCGUAGCGCUCUUGGUGAGUGGAACUUGGUAAGGAACCAUUUAUAUAGUGUGCUGAAAUUUUCUGUUACUUGUCACUAUGGAAACUAAUCCUUUGAGGGGCUUGUUUCGGGUAUCUUCACCCCAACCAGAAGAGCAAAGAGAUGCUCCUCAACCUACUGAACCUUAUGAAAAUAUUCAAUUUGAGAUUCCUUCUGGUAUGAUAGAAAAACUGCUAGCUAAUCCUUUUGCAGGAGACGGAACAUUGCACCCGACUUACACCUUAUCUUUGUGGAUGAAGUUUGUGGAUUAUUUAAGCUUGGAGGUAUUCCCGAUGAUGUUUUCAAAAGGAAGGUCUUCCCUUUAUCUUUGAAGGGGGAUGCAAUGACAUGGUAUAGGCUAUGUGAUGAUACGAGAUAUUGGAACUAUAAGCGGUUGAAGUCGGAAUUUCACCAGAAGUUCUAUCCUAUGCAUCUUGUUCAUCGUGAUCGUAAUUACAUAUAUAACUUCUGGCCUCACGAAGGAGAAAGCAUCGCUCAAGCUUGGGGGAGGCUUAAGUCAAUGUUAUAUUCAUGCCCCAAUCAUGAGAUCUCUCGGGAAAUGAUCAUUCAGAAUUUUUAUACUCGGCUUUCUCUUGAUAAUUGCAACCUGCUCGAUACUUCCUGUGCUGGUUCCUAUAUGCUGAAGACUAUUGAUUUCAAAUGGGACUUAUUGGAAAGAAUUAAACACAACUCUGAAGAUUGGGGUGCCGACGAUGGUAAGGAGUCAGGUAUGACACCUAAGUUUGAUUGUGUUAAAUCUUUUAUGGAUACCGAUGCUUUCCGUGGAUUUAGCUCUAAGUAUGGGCUUGACUAUGAGAUAGUAGCUACUUUUUGUGAAACUUCUGCUACUCACAUUGAUCUCCCUAAAGAGAAGUGGUUUAAAUAUAAUCCUUCUGUUGAAGUUAAAGUAGUUGCACCUAUUACAGUCGAAGAGAAGACUAUUACAUAUUGUGAUCCCAUUAUUCCUAUUGCUUAUGUUGAAAAACCUCCUUUUCCUGUUAGGAUAAAAGAUCAUGUCAAAGUUUUGACUGUUGUCCGUAAGAGUAAUACUAGGACCUAUGCACCUCCUGAGCAAAUUAAUGUCGAACCUGGUAUUGCUAUGAUUAAAGAUCUUUUGGAUGAGGACUUAGAUGGGCAUUGUCGGUGUCAAAACCGGCGGAUCUCGGGUAGGGGGUCCCGAACUGCGCGUCUAGGAGGAUGGUAACAGGAGACAAGGGACACGAUGUUUUUACCCAGGUUCGGGCCCUCUCGAUGGACGUAAAACCCUACUUCUUCUUGAUUAAUAUUGAUGAUAUGGGUAGUACAAGAGUAGAUCUACCACGAGAUCAGAGAGGCUAAACCCUAGAAGCUAGCCUAUGGUAUGAUUGUUGUUCGUCCUACGGACUAAAACCCACCAGUUUAUAUAGGCACCAAAGAGGGUUAGGGUUACACAGAGUCGGUUACAAUGGUAGGAGAUCUACAUAUCCGUAUCGCCAAGCUUGCCUUCCACGCCAAGGAAAGUCCCAUCCGGACAAGGGACGAAGUCUUCAAUAUUGUAUCUUCAUAGUCCAGGAGUCCGGUCAAAGGUGAUAGUUCGGCUAUCCGGACACCCCCUAAUCCGGGACUCCCUCAGUAGCCCCCUGAGGGAGUCCUGGAUUAGGGGGUGUUCGGAUGGCCGGACUAUCACCGUUGGCCGGACUCCUAGACUAUGAAGAUACAGAUUGAAGACUCCGUCCCGUGUCCGGGUGGGACUUUCCUUUGCGUGGAAGGCAAGCUUGGCAAUACAGAUAUGUAGAUCUCCUACCAUUGUAACCGACUCUGUGUAACCCUAGCUGUCGUUGUCAAAACCGGCAGAUCUCGGGUAGGGGGUCCCGAACUGUGCGUCUAGGCGGAUGGUAACAUGAGACAAGGGACAUGAUGUUUUUACCCAGGUUCGGGCCCUCUCGAUGGAGGUAAAGCCCUACUCCUUCUUGAUUGAUAUUGAUGAUAUGGGUAGUACAAGAGUGGAUCUACCACGAGAUCAAGGAGGCUAAACCCUAGAAGCUAGCCUAUGGUAUGAUUGUUGUAAUGGUUGUUCGUCCUACGGACUAAAACCCUCCGGUUUAUAUAGACACCGGAGAGGGCUAGGGUUACACAGAGUCGGUUACAAUGGUAGGAGAUCUACAUAUCCAUAUCGCCAAGCUUGCCUUCCACGCCAAGGAAAGUCCCAUCCGGACACGGGACGAAGUCUUCAAUCUUGUAUCUUCAUAGUCUUGGAGUCCGGCCGAUGAUGAUAGUCCGGCUAUCCGGACACCCCCUAGUCCAGGACUCCCUCAGUAGCCCCUGAACCAGGCUUCAAUGACGAUGAGUCCGGCGCGCAUAUUGUUCGGCAUUGCAAGGCGGGUUCCUCAUCCGAAUAAUUCAUAGAAGAUUGUGAACACCAGGAUAGUGUCCGGCUCUGCAAAAUAAAUUCCACAUACCACCGUAGAGAGAAUAAUAUGUACACAAGUUCAAUCUGCUGACGUAUUUUGUGGCAUGACGUCACACCACCACCAAGCCUUUACUUGAAUCGUUUUUAUUAUACCACCUCAGCGCGUUUAGCGAAGCAGUUUCCUUGGCAUGUCUUGUCGAAGCAGAGAUCGUGUUCCCCUUAUUCCGGGAUUCCCAUCAACACGGACGUGGAUAACCCAACCGCGCCAUUGAUUGUGGCGCUUGGGAGAUAGGCGAGUUUUACCAGGCCGGUGGGGACGCAUAGUUUUCGUCCGCGCAUAUAUAAGGGGAUAAGGAUCCACCCUUUUUACCUACGCCUUCUUCCUCCUUUGCCUAUCCAUCUCCGUGCACUCGAGCUCCAACGCCCAAGUCCGCACACCUCGCCUCAACCUUCUCCAUCCAUGUCCGGAGCAGGAGGCAAGUGGAUGGCCUCCUCCGUUACGGAGGGGCACAUCGAAAAACUGCGCGGCGCCGGAUACUUGUCCAGCGACAUCGCGCACCGGCUGCCCAACGAGGGGCAGCUCAUCCCCACCCCUAGGCCCCAUGAGAGGGUCGUAUUUCUUCCCCACUUCCUCCGUGGACUGGGCUUCCCACUUCAUCCCUUCGUCCGAGGGCUCAUGUACUACUAUGGCCUGGACUUCCACGAUCUGGCGCCAAACUUCAUCCUCAACAUCUCGGCGUUUAUUGUCGUGUGCGAGGCCUUCCUCUGCAUCCAGCCCCACUCCGGCUUGUGGCUAAAGACCUUCAAUGUCAAGCCGAAGGUGGUGAAGGGCGUUCAAGCGGAGUGCGGAGGCACCAUGGUGGGCAAAAUGCCCAACGUCAUCUGGCUCGAGGGUGCCUUCGUGGAGUCCGUCAAAGGGUGGCAAUCGGGGUGGUUCCAUAUCACCGAGCCGCGCGACCCUAAAUGGGCAGCGGCCCCCGAGUUCAGAUCUGGUAUCCCCAUGCAGCUCACCUCCUGGAAAGAGAAGGGAUUGCUAUGGGGUAGUUCGGAGGAGCUGACAGGACUCCAGUCCUGCCUCCAGACCCUGGUGAACAAGAAGCUUAAGCUUGUCAAUGUGAUCCAGGUCAUGCUCGUCUGCCGGAUUCUCCCCUGCCAGCAACGGGCCUUCAAUUUGUGGGAGUUUGAUCCGGCACAGCACCGGACCCUGAGCGGGCUCUUCGACACGACGUACGAAGCUGCCUGGAGGGUGCUGUUCAAGGGCGGAGAAGCCCCCGCAUCCGCAACUGAAGAUCGCGGAUUCAGCACGAAGCGCCCGGCCGGCGAGGUAAGCUUUGUUAUCCUUUAUGGGACACUUAUUUCCUUCAUAGUUUGACUCUAUGUGGGAUCUAAAACUCCCAAUGCCUUUAACAGGACUAGCAGAAGACGUCCGGACAGGUUAACUGUCCGGCUCCCCUUCCCGAAGACCCAGCGGACACCCGUUUGACGGGGCUGCUGGUUCCGGCCCUUUACGUGGUGCCGGAGAAGAAGGCCAAGAAGAAGGCCACGGGAACCCGGAGGAGUUCCCGGCGCCAGGUGGUAUCGGACUCAUCGUCCGAUGGCUCCGAGGCGGACUCCUCCCCUGAAGACGAGGAGGAGAAAGAGGCCUCUCCCUAAGAGGGGGGAGAGAAGAAAAGGAAGGCUUCCCCAACAGGGGAGGCUGAAGGGUCCAAGAAGGGAAGGACCCUUCCUCCGGACUGCUCCACCAACACCGGCGACGGCGACGGGGAGUGGCCCUCAAGGGCCAAGCCCCCGGCAAGAUUGUAAGUAUCCGGAUUCCUGAAUGAUUUAUAAUUUCUCUUUUUUUGCCACAUGGUGUCCUUCUAAUGCCGCAUACAACCUGCAGUCUGGCCGAGGACGAUCUUCCCGCUUCUUCGAGUGGGUCCUUGGCUCCGUCGGAUGUGGAUUCCAUUCCGACCGCCUCCACCCCUCGUGACGCUGAGGACGCCGAGGUGGGAUCCCAGGAGGGGACCCGCCAGGAGGGGGAGGCUCCGGAGGUGCCACAGGGGAACCUCCCGGACUUCGCACCGGACUCCGCACCGGAACCCGCAGUGGUUCCGGAGUCCGGCAUGCGGCCCCUUCGUAAGAAGGGCAAGACCGUGACACCGGCGGCCUCUGUCCAACUGGAGGCGCCGGACAACUUGUUGGAGCGCUCAAUGGCGCUUCCAUCGAGGAAGAACACCGCACUGUCAUGAGUGCGGUGAUUCAGAAGGUUCAGCUCGCCAAGAGCGGGCUGACUGAAGCCUGUAGCAGCCUUCUAACAGGCUUUGAGGUAAGAAAUUUUAAAAUAUGUAAUGUAAUACCGCAUAGACAGUAGCCCCUGAUGCUCGGUUCGGUAUUCGGAAAGAAAAGCUAGACUGAGGAUCUAAAAAGAUAUACGCAGGAGUUCUAAAAAUUAUGUCAAUAUGGGAUGGCAGGCUGCGCUACUGACCUCUGCCGCACUGACUGCGGAGGUCAAUGCUUUGAAGCAGGACCUCGAGCGGUCCGAGAAUGAUCUCGGCCUUGCCAAGAGGCAGCUCGAGGACAAACAAGGUGAGUCGCACCGUAUUAAAUUUGUACCUUACAGAAAAGGAUUUUGGUUGCAAGAGAAUUAACAAGGAUAACGUGGGCACUGCAGGGGCCACGAACGAGGUGGCGACCCUGAAGGAGGCCGUGUCUGCGGCCGAGCGUAAUGCGGCUGCGGAACAAGCGGAGCGAGAGAAGCAGGAAGCGCGGGUGGCGGAGGUGCAGCAAGAGCUCCAGGCUCUCAUGAAAAAGCAUGAGAGUUUGGAGCGUGACUUGAAGACUCGAGAGUCCGAGCUUGCCUCGGCUCUUGAGAGUGCCAAAGCCGCUAAGGCCGAGGCCCAUAAGGCCCUCCAGGAGAUUGAGGCGGUGAUGAAAAUAGCGGCGGGUAAGGCAUUUUUCAUGCAAAGCAAGCAUGUUAAAGUGAAUUACCUGUUACUUACCCGAAUUCGGAGCUCUCCAGGAGCGUUUGCAGAUCUUCCUCGCAGCGUAUCCGAUGCUGCCGCAUUCUACCGGGCUGAGGAGGGGAGCUCAACGGAGAAGGUCUUCUGGUCUCAGUAUGCUGAGGCCGGACAUCCGGUGCCUCUUAGCGACCAGCUGAAGCAGCUGGUCGAGCUCCACAAGGUAGCCGAGCAGGCCAUGAAGGGCCUCAUAGUCCGGCUGUGGCCUGAAGAGGCCAUGCCUGGGAGCUAUUUCGGCCUGGUGCGGCGGCUGGUGGAUGCGUGUCCCUGGGUGGAAGUCAUCAAGCGCUCCGCCUGCAUUGAAGGUGCCCGUCGAGCCCUUGCCCGUGCAAAAGUGCACUGGGGCAGGCUGGAUGCUAAGAAGCUUCUGACGGACGCGCCGCCGGCUGGCAAGGAGUAUCGCACGCCCGAAAUGUAUUAUAAGAGUGUCCUGAAGGGUGCCCACAAGAUUGCGGAUGAGUGCUCCAAAGAUGUAAUAUUUGAUUAGACUCGCAAUGUGUUAUCCUGUGCGCUCAAAAAUUUGUUCAUAUGCGCUAAGCAACGCUUAUUGAUUUAAAAUAUUACCUUCUAUGCAGCCGGUUAUCAAAUCUGAGAGAUGGCAAGUCGUCGGCUUCAGCCCCCAUGCCACGAGUGCUGGGGUGUUCGGGAUAAACUUGAGCGCUCUUGUUCCCAUUUUUGGGUCCAUCUAGGGAGGCGCUCAACACGAUGAACAAGGCAACCGGACUUAUAGUGCUUAAACACUCUCACUUCGCCAUAGAAUUCUAUAAUUUUAAAUUUCGGCGAAGCCCCUAAUAUUCGGAAGAACGAGUUCGGGGCGCUAUCCACGCCUAGGCCGGACAAAGCCGGUUCCUCGCUCUAAGCGGCAUAAGUCUUUAGGGACUCGAAAAGACCUCUCGAACAGUGACCAACUCUCGCCUUAUCAUGACGGUCAGUUUUAGCUCUCUCCACUGAGGCACUCGCCCAGCUCAACCGGGGCGCAAUCGCAGUGGUUCUCCCAGUGCUACCUUAGCCGAUAAAACGGAACGUAAGGUGCCAAAACAUGGGAGCCGGGCAAACCCAACUAUUGACCCAAGACAUGAUUCGGAGCCGAUGCAUAUAAUGCUAUAAGUUCGGGGUGCCGCACUUGGGAAAGUGUUCGGACUUAUCACACCAUAAUGCGGGGAACUUAAGCCCCUGAUGUAUUCGGCCGUACCAAACUAUACGGAUGCAGGAUGUCAUAAAUGAACAUAUAUAUAUAUAUAUAUAAAGAAAGAAAUGCGGCUAUAAGCAAGAAGCGAUGCAUUGUUUAUUCAGAAAUUCUGCCAUGAAUGCAGAGCGAUACAAAUAGUGCGGUAAGCAAGGGAUUGGACUAUUUAAACAUGUCCCCCUCCAGGGGUAGGCUGCGGAAUGGUGUAUUAAACAGAUUUAAUGCUCGUAAUGGAGACCACCUUAGUGUUCGUCGUAGCCUUUCUCCUUCCCUGGCUGUUGCAUCAUGAGUUCGGCAGGUCUACUGCCGGACAAGGCCUCUUGUGAACGGAGUCCUGUGGAUAAGAAAAAAUAAAAAAAAAGGAAAAGAAAAAGAGCGACACACUUGGGAGCCCCUGGUGUGGUUGAGCCGCACUCUGGGCCUGUCGUGGUCGUGCCCCUCCCCCUAUGCCCAUGGUAUCUCCAGAGCGUAAUGAUGUAUGCGAAGGGCUAGUCUUGCAAUCAUGCAGGGGCUGGGGUUGGGGCCGCAUUGCUACGCGUGCUCGGAACGUGCCAGGUGAUCUUGAUGUAUGUUACUCCGGGCGCGUUUGGCCAUGUCCGGUCGUUUAACGGCCGGACUCGAAAAUUGCCUUAAGAGGCUGCUCUGUACUUCUGCCGCGAGAGCCGCUGUGUGUUCCUCCGUUCGGAGGGAGCGUUCAGUGUUUCCGUUGACCGUGAUGACUCCACGAGGGCCUGGCAUCUUGAGCUUAAGGUAUGCAUAAUGCGGCACCGCAUUGAACUUUGCAAACACGGUUCGUCCGAGCAGAGCGUGAUAGCCACUACGGAACGGGACUAUGUUGAAGAUUAACUCCUCGCUUCAGAAGUUAUCCGGGGAUCCGAAGACCACUUCCAGUGUGACUGAGCCUGUACAAUUGGCCUCUACACCUGGUAUGACGCCUUUAAAGGUCGUCUUUGUAGGUUUAAUCCUUGAGGGGUCUAUGCCCAUCUUGCGCACUGUAUCCUGAUAAAGCAGGUUCAGGCUGCUGCCGCCGUCCAUCAGGACUCUUGUGAGGUGAAAUCCAUCGACGAUUGGGUCUAGAACCAAUGCGGCGAACCCGCCAUGGCGGAUACUGGUGGGGUGGUCCCUUCGAUCGAAAGUGAUCGGGCAAGAGGACCAUGGGUUGAACUUCGGGGCGACUGGCUCCAUCGCAUAUACGUCCCUAAGUGCACGCUUCCGCUCCCUCUUGGGUAUGUGGGUUGCGUAUAUCAUGUUUACAGCCCGCACUUGUGGGGGGAAACCCUUCUGUCCUCUGCUGUUCGGCGACCGGGUCUCCUCCUCGUCAUCGCUAUGCAGCCCCUUGUCAUUGUUUUCGGCAAUUAACUUGCCUGCCUGCUUGAAUACCCAACAAUCCCUGUUGGUGUGAUUAGCUGGCUUUUCGGGGGUGCCAUGUAUCUGGCAAGAGCGGUCGAGUAUUCGGUCCAAAUUGGACGGACCCGGAGUAGUUCUUUUAAAUGGCUUUUUCCGCUGACCGGGUUUAGAGCCUCUGAAUCCGGCGUUGACUGCCGUAUCCUCAGUGUUAUCACCGUUAACGCGGCGUUUGUUUUUGUUGCGACGCGACCUGCCAUUGCGGUCCUUGUUGUCCGGAUUGCCAGAAUUUUUGCUGAGGUUGUUACUGCGGGCUAGCCAGCUGUCCUCCCCCACACAGAAGCGGGUCAUGAGUGAUGUGAGGGCUGCCAUGGAUUUCGGCUUUUCCUGUCCUAGGUGCCGGGCCAGCCACACGUCGCGGAUGUUAUGUUUGAAGGCUGCGAGGGCCUCUGCAUCUGGACAGUCGACGAUUUGAUUUUUCUUUGUUAAGAACCGUGUCCAGAACUGUCCGGCCGAUUCGUCUGGCUACUGAAUUAUGUGGCUUAGGUCAUCAGCGUCUGGUGGUCGCACAUAUGUGCCCUGGAAGUUGUCGAGAAAUGCGGCUUCCAGGUCCUCCCAACACCCAAUUGACUCUGCUGGCAAGCUGUUAAGCCAAUGCCGAGCUGGUCCUUUAAGCUUGAGUGGGAGAUACUUGAUGGCGUGGAGAUCGUCACCGCGGGCCAUAUGGAUAUGGAGGAGAUAAUCUUCGAUCCAAACCGCGGGGUUUGUUGUGCCAUCGUAUGAUUCAAUGCUCACGGGUUUAAACCCUUCAGGGAUUUGAUGAUCCAUUACUUCAUCUAUGAAGCAUAGUGGGUGUGCGGCGCCUCUAUACUGGGCAAUAUCACGACGUAGCUCAAGAGAGCUUUGUCUACUGUGUUCGGCCCGACCGAAGUUGCUGUAUCCGGCGCGACGGUAGUCGUCGCGGAUCAUGGGGCACCCACGUGAUCCGUAGAUAGAUCUUGAUUGUUUUGCCUUGUCCUCCAAUAUAUCUCGCAAGUCCGGCGCAUUCCCCCGUGGCUUCGCGCUUUUCGAGCGGUGCCGGGGUACUGUUCUGGCGGGGGGCCUAGAUGCCUCUCUGUCGCGGCCACGAGGUGGUCGGUCUGCCGUAUUGUGCGCUGGUGAUGAAGGUUUAUAUGCCUCCUCCUCUAAUCUGGGGAGCAACUUGCAUUUUGGGUAGCUUUUGGAGGGGCAUUUGAGUUCAUGCUCUUCGGCCAUGAGGACCUCGGUCCAUCUGUCGGCCAGCAGGUCUUGAUCAGCUCGAAGCUGUUGCUGCUUUUUCUUUAGGCUGUUUGCCAUGGCCAUUAUCCUGCGUUUAAAACUCUCUUGUUCGACGGGAUCCUCGGGCACAACGAAUUCGUCGUCGUUGAGGCUUGUCUCGUCUCCGGAGGGAGGCAUGUUAUAAUCAUCCUCUACCUCCUCGUCUGCCGCUCUCUCUUGAGGGCUGGCUACUCCGUCCUCCUAUGCUGAAUCUUGCUGGAGGGGGUUGUCUUCGGCACUCUCUGGGGUGUUAUUAUCUCCAGUGCCGGAAUGUCCAUUCUCGCUGUGGCGGGAUUUAGAGCGGCGCCGCUGACGUCGGCGCUUGGGCUGUUUCUUAGAGGAAUCUGCCUCCGCUGCUUCCUCGCCGUUCCCAUCCUUUGGGAGGUCCACCAUGUAUAUGUCGUAUGACGAGGUGGUCUUCUAGUGCCCCCGUAGGCGCUGGUUCUUGGUCGUCUUCGGCAUCGUCGUCCAUACCGUCAAUGUCUUCGGAGUCGUAGUCUAGCAUGUCGGUUAGAUCGUCGACAGUGGCUACAAAGUGGGUGGUGGGUGGGCUUUGAAUUUCUUCGUCGUCCGCAUCCCAACCAUCCUGACCGCAGUCCGGCCAGGGCUCUCUUGAUAACGAGAGAUAGUUUAGUGAAUUCAGGAUGUCGCCAAAGGGUGAGUGCUGAAAGAUGUCCAUAGCGGUGAACUCCAUGAUCGGCGCCCAAUCGGAUUCGAUUGGCAGGGGCGCAGGAGGUUCGGAGUCCGGCAAGGAGUCUGGCACCUCGGAGUCAUGAGCUUUGCAAGGGACAAGGUCAGUAUUCGGCUCCAUCACCGUAGAAGUUGCAGCCCCCGAGGCGGUGUCCAGCCACCUGUCCUCGAUCUGCGCGGUCGGCUCCGAACUAUGGGUCAGAGCGGACUCAUGUGCGGCCUCCAGGGUACUGUCCGGUGGCAGAGCUAAAUCAUGCCCAUCGUGACAGCGCGGCGCGCUCGGCUGUGGCUCGAAUCCAUCGAAGAUCAAGUCUCCGCAGAUGUCAGCCGUGAAGUUUAGGCUUCCAAACCUGACCUGAUGGCCAGGGGCGUAGCUUUCGAUCUGCUCCAGAUGGCCAAGCGAAUUGGCCUGCAGUGCAAAGCCGCCGAACACGAAGAUCUGUCCGGGGAGAAAAGUCUCACCCUGGACUGCGUUGUUGAUUGAAGAAGCCAUCAGGCCUAUCUGUGACGACACAGAGGAACUCUCAAUGAAAGCACCAAUGUCGGUGUCAAAACCGGCGGAUCUCGGGUAGGGGGUCCCGAACUGUGCGUCUAGGCGGAUGGUAACAGGAGACAAGGGACACGAUGCUUUUACCCAGGUUCGGGCCCUCUCAAUGGAGGUAAAACCCUACUCCUGAUUGAUUGAUAUUGAUGAUAUGGGUAGUACAAGAGUGGAUCUACCACGAGAUCAAGGAGGCUAAACCCUAGAAGCUAGCCUAUGGUAUGAUUGUUGUAAUGGUUGUUCGUCCUACGGACUAAAACCCUCCAGUUUAUAUAGACACCAGAGAGGGCUAGGGUUACACAUAGUCGGUUACAAUGGUAGGAGAUCUACAUAUCCGUAUCGCCAAGCUUGCCUUCCACGCCAAGGAAAGUCCCAUCCGGACACGGGACGAAGUCUUCAAUCUUGUAUCUUCAUAGUCUUGGAGUCCGGCCGAUGAUGAUAGUCCGGCUAUCCGGACACCCCCUAGUCCAGGACUCCCUCACUAGCCCUCUCCGGUGUCAAUAUAAACCGGAGGGUUUUAGUCCUUAGGACGAACAACAAUCAUACAAUAGGCUAGCUUCUAGGGUUUAGCCUCUUUGAUCUCGUGGUAGAUCUACUCUUGUACUACCCAUAUCAUCAAUAUUAAUCAAGCAUGAGUAGGGUUUUACCUCCAUCGAGAGGGCCCGAACCUGGGUAAAAACAUCGUGUCCCUUGUCUCCUGUUACGAUCCGCCUAGACGCACAGUUCGGGACCCCCUACCCGAGAUCCGCCGGUUUUGACACCGACACCCCCGAACCAGGCUUCAAUGGCGAUGAGUCCGGCGCGUAGAUCGUCUUCGGCAUUGCAAGGCGGGUUCUUCUCCAAAUCCUGUGCACCUGUUGAAUAGCGUCCGGCUUCUCGUAAAUAUUGCGCUCCUUGGCUUCCACGCCCAAUAAUGGCCAUCUUACACGUGUCCAACGAAUGCGAAAAGCCAAGGUAUUUUUACAUUUACCCCCUAGCUGUGCAAAUGAGCUGCCUAUGAAGGAGACGAGGAUCUAGAUCCGAAUCACACCAUCCUCCCUUCGCGAGCAUUCAUCAGAGCACAUCUGACAGAAAUCCAUUCCAUCAUGGACAGUCGACGCGGCUCCUCCUCUCGCCCUCCCAGCCCUUAGCCUGGAGAUUGGGAGAGAUGCUCCGUCCCACACAGCGAGCUAGUGGCGCUCCAAACCAAGGGAUUUCUUCCCCCAGCCUUCAUGGUUCCGUUUUGAGCCGGACUCGCCACCUAUAAGGGCGGAAAGCAAGCGGAGAGCAUCCCCAGUCCCUCCAAAGGAGAGCGGGUAUGCCUUGUCCCUUAUUCGAUAAGAGGGCUCGGAUUUCCAAUUCAUCCGUUUCUCCGAGGGCUCCUGGAGUUUUACGGCCUCCAGUUGCACAACCUUACGCCUGCCUCCAUCUUGCAUAUUGCGGGCUUCGUGGCCUUUUGCGAGCUGAUUUUGGGCAUCGAGGCUCAUUUUACGUUGUGGAAGAAGCUGUUCUGCCUUGUGCCCCGUUCUCAAGAGGGGUCAAUAUAUCAAGUGGGCGGAGCCGAACUAUGGCGCAUCGCCGGAACCGGAUAUCUAUCCGGAACCCCAAAGAAGGCGUCCGAAGACUGGCCUUCGGAAUGGUUUUAUAUAGAAGAUGUCCCCUGCCGGACCCUGUUCGGAUCGGCCUCCCUGAGUUCAAUAACGCUCCUUUGAAGAAACGCCUAAGCUGGCGUCCACGGGGCCCUCAGAAGGAAAAUGACAGGGACGUCCUUUACCUGAUGAGCCGAAUUAGGUUGUUAGCUCAUUCCGGACUGACCAUGAUCGGGGUCAUGGCCACAUGCAUUAUGCGGAGGGUGCAGCCGCUCCAGUAUAGAGGCCACCCCAUGUGGAAUUUCAAUGGGGAGGACGAUGCCACCCGCCACGGCCGUAAGGGGCCAGGAUCGGUCGCCCAUCUGAUGAAGAUCCUGUCCACAUUGUACAAGGGAGAAGAGGAGGAAUUUCUCCGUGUCAAUCCACAGGACGGAUUUUCUAUGUACAAUCCUCCAAGCUGGGUAAGCGGACAUUUAUUUUUGCCUAUCCGAUCCAUACUCCCAUAGUCAAGUAUCUCAUUUUGUGAUUUCGGCGCAGGAACUGCGCCGGGCCGUUAAGGAUAUAAACAGCCCGCCUCCACAACCCGAGGAUCCGGAACGGUUCCUCGACCCGACCUCCCAAGAGGAUCCGGACAUAUCGGUGGAGCUGAUCGAUGGGGUAUUUCACCAACUGAGCAUCGAUAAUGCAUUGGUCGCCAUUACGAACGAUUACCCCGGAAUACUUCCAGCCUCGCAGGUAACUGAGACCGAAGUCCCAAUACUUUGAAAAUGACCCAUCCGUGCUUGUUUUUGAUCACCGUAUACUAAUGGUGUUUCGCAGGGGAAGUCCUUGAGGCGGAAGGCCGAGCCUGCGAUGGCUAGUCAACAAGGGACAGCAAGGCCCAACAGGCUGAAAAGAAGUGCAGUCCAGAUUGAAACGCUGGUGCAACGGUAUGGCGUGUCAUCUUACUCCCAGGUUUUAUUCCCGGGAGGCAUACUAACGCUCAUGCUUUUUCAGGAAGAAGAGCGCUCGCCAGACUGUAUCCGGAGAGGUUGCCAAUCAAUCCUCCGCUCGCCAGGCUCCAAAGCCAGGUCCAGAAGAGGAGGCGAACACGAGGCGUGCGUCGGAUGCUCCUCCGACAGAGGAUGCCGACAGGUUAUCUGCCACCAAUUCCGAGGUGGAUAGUGCCAUGAAUCACAGGCGUCGCCGUAUAGUUCUUCGUGACGCAUGUUUCUGCCCAGAGGCAUUGGAUGCCUUCAAUUUGGGAGAUGUGCACCUCCGUGUAGCUCAAAAUGGUCUAGCCAGAGCCACGGAGCAGUAUGUAAAAGACAUACGGGUGAGAAAAUUUGACAGUUAUAUAUGCCAGUAGCCCCCGAGACUUGAAAUAGUUAGAAUAACUGAUUUAAGGAUCAUUUAUUGUGCAGGAUCUUACAGAAAAGAAUACCCAACUGUCCCAGAAGCUGGAGGAGUGCAAAGCCCAACUUGAGGCCUCACUAGCCGCAGUGGGGGAAGGCAAAUGGACCCUGAGGGAGUCCUCGACUAGGGGGUGUCCGGAUAGCCGAACUAUCAUCAUUGGCCGGACUCCAAGACUAUGAAGAUACAAGAUUGAAGACUUCGUCCCGCGUCCGAAUGGGACUUUCCUUGGCGUGGAAGGCAAGCUUGGCAAUACGGAUAUGUAGAUCUCCUACCAUUGUAACCGACUCUGCGUAACCCUAGCCCUCUCCGGCGUCUAUAUAAACCGGAGGGUUUUAGUCCGUAGGACGAACAACAAUCAUACCAUAGGCUAGCUUCUAGGGUUUAGCCUCCUUGAUCUCGUGGUAGAUCUACUCUUGUACCACCCAUAUCAUCAAUAUCAAUCAAGCAGGAGUAGGGUUUUACCUCCGUCGAGAGGGCCCGAACCUGGGUAAAAAGAUCGUGUCCCUUGUCUCCUGUUACCAUCCACCUAGACGCACAGUCCGGGACCCCCUACCCGAGAUCCGCCGGUUUUGACACCGACAUUGGUGCUUUCAUUGAGAGUUCCUCUGUGUUGUCGCUCACAGGCCCAAUGGACCCUUCGAUCAUCAACAACGACGCGGUCCAUGGUGAGACUUUUCUCCCCGGACAGAUCUUCGUAUUCGGCGGCUUCACACUGCGGGCCAAUUCGCUUGGCCAUCUGGAGCAGAUCGAAAGCUACGCCCCUGACCAUCAGGUCAGAUUUGGAAGUUUGAACUAUAUGACCGACAUCCGCGGAGACUUGAUCUUCGACGGAUUUUUCGAGCCACAGCCGAGCGCGCCGCACUGUCGCGAUGGACAUGAUUUAGCUCUGCUGCCGGACUGUGCCCUGGAGGCCACACGAGAGUCCGCUCCGACCCUUAACUUGGAGCCGACUGCGCCGAUCGAGGAUGGGUGGCUAGACACCGCCUCGGGGGCUGCUACCUCUACGGUGAUGGAGCCGAAUACCGACCCUGUCCCUUCCGAAGCUCGUGACUCCGAGGUGCCGGACUCUUCUCCGGACACCGAACCCUCCGCGCUCCUGCCAAUCAAAUCUGAUUGGGCGCCGAUCAUGGAGUUCACCGCUGCGGACAUCUUUCAGCACUCUCCUUUCGGCGACAUCCUAAAUUCGCUAAACUGCCUCUCCUUAUCAGGAGAGCCUUGGCCGGAUUAUGGUCAGGACGGUUGGGAUACGGACCAUGAAGAAAUUCAAAGCCCACCCACCACCCACUUCGUAGCCACUAUCGAUGACUUAACCAACACGCUAGACUUCGAAUCCGAAGACAUUGACGAUAUGGACGACGAUGCUGGAGACAACCAAGAACCAGUGCCUACGGGGCACUAGAAAGCCACCUCAGCCUACGAUGUAUAUAUGGUGGAUACACCUAAAGGAAGCGAUAACGAGGAACAAUAGGACGCUGCGAAGGAUAAUUCCCUCGAAAAACUGCCGAAACGGCGCCGCAAGCGCCGCCCAAACUCCCGCCUCGACAACGACAACACCCAUACAGACCCAGCCACAGAGCAGGGCGAACCAGUGGAUGACGAACAUGCCAAAAGCAACCAUCCGAACAGGACGAAUUGGAUAAACAACCCAUCCCCGGCGAAAACAACAGUCCGGAUGAUCUCACGCCGGACACAUCAUUGGAGCAGAAGAACCUUCACAAAAGGCUCGUCACCACUGCACGAAGUCUGAAGAAGCAGAAGCGGAAGCUCAAAACAGCGGAGGACGUACUCAUAAUGAGAUGGAGCAAAGUACUCAAGACCGCAGACAAAUACGGCGAUAUCCGCCAAGCAAAGAGCUACCCGAAGCGCAAACUAUUGCCCGAAUUUGACGAGGAGGCCGUAGAGCCCCCACAAUCAAAAAACAAAGAGGCCGCCCGGUCGGAUAGACGACCACAUGACAAACAAAGAGCGACAAGCGGCGCCGCACACAAGCCGGCACGUGAUCCACAUAAGGAUCCUCGCAAAAAGGAUGGCCCGGUCAGGUCCAUCUAUGGGCCAAGAAAGAAAGCUCCAGAAAGCAACACAACACGUCGAGUAUCCGAAAAUCAUGGUACACCCAAAUACAGGGGCGCCGCACACCCCCUAUGUUUCACCGAUGAGGUACUGGAUCAUGAAUUUCCAGCGGAUUUCAAGCCCGUAAACAUAGAGGCAUACGACGGAACAACAAACCCCGGAGUCUGGAUUGAGGAUUACAUCCUACACAUACAUAUGGCUAGAGGAGAUGACCUCCAUGCCAUAAAAUACUUACCCCUCAAGCUCAAAGGGCCAACCCGGCAUUGGCUCAAAAGCCUCCUAGAAAAUACCAUUGGAAGUUGGGAAGAGCUCGAGGAUGCGUUUCGGGCAAAUUUUCAGGGGACUUAUGUCCGCCCUCCGGAUGCAGACGAUUUAAGUCACAUAACUCAACAGCCCGGAGAGUCAGCCCACAAAUUCUGGAAUAGGUUCCUCACCAAAAAGAACCAAAUAGUCGACUGUCCGGAUGCCGAAGCCUUAGCAGCCUUCAAACAUAAUGUCCGAGACGAAUGGAUCGCCAGACACCUCGGCCAGGAAAAGCCAAGGACAAUGGCCGCACUAACAAGCCUCAUGACCCGCUUUUGCGCGGGAGAAGAUAGCUGGCUGGCAAGAUGCAGCACCAGCGACCCGAGUACAUCCGAGGUCAGGGAUGGAAAUGGGAAACCACGACGCAGAAAAGACCAGCGCCGGACUAAGGAAAAUGGCCCAAAGAGCACGGCAGUUAACGCCGGGUUCAAAAGCUCUAGGCAGAACAACAAAACACUGCCUCUCAAGGACAACAGCGACGAGCUAUCCAACCUAAACAAAAUCUUGGACAGGAUAUGUCAAAUCCAUAGUACCCCCGGGAAGCCUGCAAACCAUACCCACAGAGAUUGUUGGGUCUUCAAGCAGUCCGGCCGACUUAACGCUGAACACAGGGGGCUCGACACACCAUGUGAGGACGAUGAUGAACCCCACAAGCAAAGCACCGGAAAACAAAAGAAUUUCCCACAAGAGGUCAAAACAGUAAAUUCACUUCAAGUGAUAACAAGGAAAAAUAGAGCGGCGCCACUAAAGUACGCGCCGCACGGUCCACCCCAGCGGAGUCCCGAAACUGGAUGACAAAACCAAUAACUUUCGACCAUCAGGAUUACUCCGGAAGUAUCCGAAACACAGGAUGGACUGCUUUGAUAUUGGAUCAUAUAAUCGACGGACUACAAUUUACACAAGUCCUAAUGGACAGCGGCAGUGAUCUAAACCUGCUAUACCAGGACACAAUCCGCAGAAUGGGGAUAGACCCAACCAAAAUAAGCCAUAGCAACACUUCCUUUAAAGGAGUGACGCCAGGCCCAUAUGCCAAUUGCACGAGCUCCCUACUACUAGAAGUUGUGUUCGGUUCACCCGACAACUUCCGUCGCGAAAAGCUAAUCUUCCAUAUCGCCCCAUUUAAAAGUAGCCAUCAAGCACUAUUGGUACGCGAAGCUUUCGCCCGCUUUAAUGCAAUACCGCAUUAUGCGUCUCUUACACUUAAAAUGCCCGGACCACGCGGCAUCAUCUCAUUAAAGGGUAACUUCGAGUGUUCCUCGACCGCAGAAGAACGUGAGACUGCCUUGACAGCCACACACUAAUUCGGCUUUGCUGAUGAAAGCCCCUAAAGCCGGUCAUUCAGACCCCGGACACGGUUAGGCGAGUCCGGUAUAAAUAAACAAGGGGCUUACUAGUCAUGUACCCCUUUACAAGGGGCUCCACGCAUGAACAAUGAGAGCCAAUAAAGCUCAAUUUUAUUCAUUUUUUGAAUCAUACUCUGUUUUAAAUACAUUUUUCACACGAUCCUUUUUUUUCAAACUAAGUUCUUCUCUUUUACAGAUGAACAACGUGCUACACCCAUCCAGGAUACGGCACAACGGAGACACAGGCGCAGACGUGCAGUAGGGACCCGUUGCAAGGAUUCUUUUCAGAUUAAGACCCUGUGUAAACCUUUCUUACUGUCUCUUGUUGAUACACAUCCCCCGGUUUCUUACCAUAACCGAGGAGGAGGCUGUCAUUUUGGCAUCGGCCGCGUCAGAAGUUCUCGCGCGUACCCGGACACUAGGGGCUUAGGGCAUCGUUCUGCCCGUUUUCAUAAAGACCGAAUACCUCAGGGAGUGUUCGGCGUCUCGAGUUAGGCCUUAUAUGCAUCAGCUCCAAAUCAUGUCUUUGGUCAAAUGUUGGGUUUGCCCGGCUCCUGUGUUUUGCUGCCUUACGUUCCGUUCUAUCGGCUAACGUGGCACCAGGAGAACUACUGCGAUUGUGCCCCGGUUCGGCCUGGUGAGCACCUCAGUAGAGAAAGCCAAAAACUGACUGUCAUGAUAUAGCGAGAGACUGGUCAACCACUCGAUUGACCAGUGGAAUGUUUAGAAUUCCUCCGCUUUGACGAAGGACCGCUUCCCGGUCAGGCACGCACGCGCACCGAAUUCAGAGAGCGCGGUGCCCCUAGGGGCUAUAUAGUAGCCCCACCAUCGAACUCCUAUGGCUAAGUGAAAGUGAUAAAGCAUUAUAGUCCGGUUGCCUAGUUUGCUACGCUAUCACCUCCUUCACAGGACCAAGACGUUGGAUUAAGUGUGAAAAUGUGCUUUUUUGCAAACACCCCCGCACUACGUGCGUGGGGGCUGAAGCCGAAGACUGCCAUCUUUCAGGUUAUAUACAUGCAUAUACAUUAACGGCUGCACAGGAGGUAUUUCAAUACUUGAACGCACAAGUAUAAAAAGCCCUCAUAUUAUAUAUUUAAAACAUGGUUUCACAAAUCAUACAUGUCAUUUGAACAUAACGUUUUUCGAGCACCGCGACUCUAUUAAACGAGCGCCCUGCAGGACUUCCUCAAAGUAGUGCUCGGCGGGUAAUCGGCUUCUGUCCGAAUCCCGGGAUGCAACGUCGGCGGCCUCCAUCUCUGCCCAAUAUGUUUUGACACGGGCGAGGGCCAUCCGUGCACCCUCUAUGCAUGCCGACCGCUUCAUCGCCUUGAUAUGCGGCACCGCAUGAAGGAACUGCUGCACCAAGCCAAAAUAACUCUUUGGCUCGGGCCUUUCCGGCCACAGAUGGGCCACGACAUCCUUCAUGGCAAGUCCAGACAACCUGUUCAGCUCAGCCCACUCAGCCAACCGAUCGGUUAACGGAAGUGGACGCUCCAGAUUAUGGAAUUGAGACCAAUAAAGCUCUUCCAUUCCGCGAUCCUUUUGGCCUCGGAAGUGUGCAACUGCAUCCGCCGCACUCGCUGCCAAAUUCAGAUAAGCAUCCUCCGCACCCCACAACUGGCCCAAGUGAGCAUAUUUCGGAUCCGUGAACUUCCUACGCAGUAGAAAGGGCUUUCCGGCCGCAAUAUCCCAGGCUUGACGUAGCUCCUCCUUUAUAGCCCUCAUCGCUGAGCGGGCAUCCUUGGCUUUGGCGGUGGCCUUCUUCAGGUCCUCUUGCUCCGCUCGGCGUUCCCUUUCAAGAAACUCACAACGGUCGGUAGCAUCCUUCAGCUUCACGGCCAUUUCCUCCCUGCUUCGGCAGUGAGCAGCCUGUUCGGCUUUUAGCUCUUCGGCCACCUUCAAGGCAGCCGCAUCACUUUGUGUGGCUUGCUCUUUGACUCGGGCAAGCUCCGCCCGAAGGUCCUCCAUAGCAGCGGCACCAUCUGCAUUAAGCAUACAUGUUGUAAGGUAUGGGCGUCAAAGCUCACUUACAAGGUGUCCGCGGAGAAGCCACAUACCUUGUCACUUGUCAAGUCGUUUAUUGACCAGCGCGAUGUCAGCAUCCGCAACGUCAAGUUGCCGCUUCAGUUCGGCAACUCUAUCAGUCCGGCUGGCCACCGAACAUUCCGCCACCUGAUUAGGAAGGGUGACAUCUUAUAACUGAGAUUAUGAUCCUCGGCAUGCUGUUGCUUCUGACAACAUGCCGAGUCUCAGGGGCUACUAUCUAUACAGGGCGCACUCUAUGCGCAAAACUAUCAAAAGGUAUAUUAUUUUUACGUACCUCAAACCCCGUCAGUAAACUUCUAACGGCCUCAUGCAACCCGCUCUCAGCGGAUGAAAUCCUUUCAAUCACCGUACUCAUCAACGUACGGUGAUCUUCUGAGAUAGACGCCCGCCCAAGCAGAUCCUUCAGCUCCUCCGGCCGUACACCAGUUGGUGCCGAACUCUCCGGCAACACCGGACUCGGGGAGACCCUCCACGAUGACACCUCAGGGUCGUCCGCCCCGCCUAACGGUGCGGCAGAUGGAGGCGUUUCGCUCUCCAUCAUCUCCGGAUGAAGAUCCCCCGAAGAUGAGCUCUGCUGAGAAGGGCUGAGAUCCGAACUACAAGGUAAAAACUUCGGUUAUCCUCAGAAAUAAAAACAGGGAUGUCCCUUAUUACAAAACUCCCCUUUCUACUUACGGCUCGCUGGAGGGCUGAUUCCCUUGGGGAAAUAGUACGGCCGGGGCUUCUCCUGGCGCAGGACCCUCCGGUGAAGAUUCCUUCCCCCGCUUUGAGGCCUUGGCCUCCGGAUCUUCGGAAGUGGUCCUCUUCUCCCUCUGGAGGGGGGGAUUCUCGAUCCCCCUUUCUUGAGAGCUUCCUUAGCGGAGGCGGUAGUUUUCCUGUUCGCCCCUUUGCCCUCUUCCGAGGGUGCAGCCUCCAGCAUCUUGACUAACACGGGAUCCGGCGUGGUCUCGGGGAGGGGGGCCGGACACCGUAUCAGUUUUGCUUUCGCUAUCCACUCCUGUUCAAGGGAUAGCUGGUUAAAGGGAAAGCCCAUGAUAAAUGAACGGACGGUAUGUCCAGAUACAGGACUACUUACUUGAGUAUCCGGGCGAUUGCAGCUUAGGCCUGCAUCCUCGGUCAAAUCCGGACACAUCUCUUGUGAUCCGAAGAACAGUUUAUACAUCUCCACGGGCGUCGCACCCAUGAAGUGUUGAAGAGCUCGCGGCCCCUCCGGAUUGAAUUCCCACAAGCGGAGGGGGCGACGUUUGCAGGGCAGAAGGCGCCAAAUCAGCAUGACCUGCGCCACUACAACCAGAUUGAUCUCCCUCUCUUGGAGGUCUCGGAUGCGGCCCUGCAAUAAUGGCACGUCCUUGGAUGGCCCCCAGUCAAGCCCUUUGUUGACCCGUGACGCCAGCCGUUGUGGGGGGCCCGAGCGAAAGGUAGGCGGCACCACCCGGCGAGUGCCCCUGGGAGCGGUGAUGUAGAACCACUCCUGUUGCCACAAACCGAGCUCCUUUUGAAAAUAGCCCUCGGGCCACGGAGCGUCGGCUCUCUUGCUUAUAACUGCCCCUCCACACUCUGCCUGCCGCUCCUCGAUCAUCUUCGGCUCCAUGUUGAAGGUCUUGAGCCACAAUCCGAAGUGAGGAGUGGUGUGAAGGAAGGCUUCGCAUACAACAAUGAAUGAUGAGAUGUGGAGGAUGGACUCCGGAUCCAAGUCAUGGAAUUCCAGCCCAUAAUAAAACAUGAGCCCCCUCACGAAGGGGUCCAUCGGGAAACCUAAACCCCGACGGAAGUGAGACACGAACACCACGCUCUCGCCAGGCUCGGGAGUGGGAAUAACUUGCCCUGGGACGGGCAGCCUAUGCGAAAUUUCGCCGGUUAGAUACCUGGCGUCUCUCAGCUUUAGCACAUCUUCUUCCGUGACGGAAGAAGGCAUCCACCGGCCCUGAAGGUCGGAGCCGGACAUUGUCGAAAGUCCGAAGCGCCUGAAUCUGGAGCCUUGGGUGUUGGAACUUAGGGCGAGGGGCGGAUUCGAUUGAGGAUUGAAGAAAAGGAACAUGCCUUGGUCUCGUUAUAAAGGGGUUGAAUACCAAGAGCCAUCCCUGUAACCAUUUGGGACUCGCCUUCGAUGGAGGAGGCGAGCCAACGGGCGUGGUUGGGUUACCCACGACCGUAUUGAUGAGAAUCCCGGAAUAAGGGGACACGAUCUCUGCUUCGACAAGAUGUGCCAAGGAAACCACUUCGCUAAACGCGCUGAGGUGGAAUAAUAAAAACGAUUCGAGUAAAGGCUUGGCAGUGGUGUGACGUCACACCACGAAAUACGUCAGCAAAUCAAACUUGUGUGUAUAUUAUUCUCUCUAUGGUGGUAUGUGGAAUUUAUUUUGCAGAGCUGGACACUGUCCUGGUGUUCACAAAUCUUCUAUGAAUUAUUCGGAGGAGGAACCCGCCUUGCAAUGCCGAAGACAAUAUGCACGCUGGACUCGUCGUCAUUGAAGCCUGGUUCAGGGGCUACUGAGGGAGUCCUAGACUAGAGGGUGUCCGGAUAGCCGAACUAUCAUCAUUGGCCGGACUCCAAGACUAUGAAGAUACAAGAUUGAAGACUUCAUCCCGCGUCCGAUGGGACUUUCCUUGGCGUGGAAGGCAAGCUUGGCAAUACGGAUAUGUAGAUCUUCUACCAUUGUAACCGACUCUGUGUAACCCUAGCCCUCUCCGGUGUCUAUAUAAACUGGAGGGUUUUAGUCCGUAGGACGAACAACAAUCAUACCAUAGGCUAGCUUCUAGGGUUUAGCCUCCUUGAUCUCGUGGUAGAUCUACUCUUGUACCACCCAUAUCAUCAAUAUCAAUCAAGCAUGAGUAGGGUUUUACCUCCGUCGAGAGGGACUGAACCUGGGUAAAAACAUCGUGUCCCUUGUCUCCUGUUACCAUCCGCCUAGACGCACAGUUCGGGACCCCCUACCCGAGAUCCGCCGGUUUUGACACCGACAGACCCCAUCUGGUAAUAUAUGCUUCAAAAGGUAAGUAAUUUGUCAAGUGCGGCGUGUGUAUAAGUCUGACAAUAAUAUUGCAGAUGGUGCCGGGAUAGAUCCGGACAAGCAACAGCUCAUGCGCCGGUUAAAGGCCAGCGAGAAUGUGCUUACAAGGGUGAGGCAAGAGAAAAAUAAUCUCCAAGAUGCCAACACCCAGCUGGGUGAGGAACUAAAGGAUGUUCGUGCCCAACUGUCUGACUCCGUUAAGGAGAAUCGGCGGCUUUGACGCGGCAUUUUUAGUAAGUGCUUGAACGAACUUUGAAAAAGAGUUCGGCGAGGAAGUCGACUAACAGAGUUAUGUCUGUAGGUAUGCUCACAGGCCGUCCUGCAGAGGAAAUGCCCGGUUCUAUGGGUGACCUUCUUCCCGAGCUCUUGCAACUGCACGAACGAGUUCGGCGGGUGAUGAAAGGCGUCGCCCAGGCCUUGUGGCCAUCUGUCUCCCUGCCCAAAGGCCUUGGAGAGCUUGCAGAGGGGCUUCAGGGAGCGCGGCGGCGCUUCCGCUUAUGGAAGAUAUUGGCCUGCCGUCAAGGCGCCAGGGAGGCCUGGGCCAUGGUGAAGACGCGGUACACGAAGGCUGACCCAAACCACAUGGUCUAGGUCGGACCUGUGGGGCCCGAUGGGAAGGAGAUCCCUGUGAGAUUAGUGUAUUACCAAGUAGAAUUGGCCGCAAAGUAUUCCCAACAGGACUGUAAACUAGACAACCUGUUGGAUGGCAUUGAAGAGGAAUAUGCCCAGUCAAGUUGACUAUGGAAUUUAAGAUGACAUGUAAAAUGCCUUCUAGACGGAUUGUAGAUUGUUUGUCAUGGCGAACCUUUCUGCUUCAACCUCGGGACCCGAUAGUCUGGAGUGUGUCCGAAUAGCCUCACGGUUAUGGAAGAACCGGGGCAUGCGUGGAGACCAGGCGUAGGGGUCAUUAGUGCUUUAUCAGACAAGUGCCCAACUAGUUAUGUUAUAUUACAUGGUUAGUAAGAAACAUCUUCCAGGGAGAAUAGUUCCGUUAGGGGUUCCUUUCCCUGGGAGGCAUGCCCUAAAGUGCAUGUCCGGACUGCAAAAAAUGCAGAAAAACAUCUGGGGGCAGAUAAAUAAAUAAAUGAGAAAUCAUCUUUUAGUUCACCGACCGAAUAUUCCCUUAAGAACGCUAGCUUUCGGCUUCACCCAGUCUGAGGUACACAUCCGGCUGACCCGGCAGUAACAAUCGCAGAGGUGCUCCCUUUACCACCUAGCCAAACAAUCGGGAACGUAGGGGUAAGCACAGGAGCCAGGCAACCCAGCUUCGCCAAAACUUAAGUCAUAUCGAUGCAUAUAAUGGUGAAUAAAAGGUACAUGCGGAAGUGUGACACAUGUGUUGGGCGUGAAGCCCGUAUAAAUAAGCUUCUGUUAAAGAAGCCCACAGGUAUAAUGAGGUCGGAUAGCAUGUCAAGUGUGUGCGAACAACGUGAAAAUGAGUCUUCAAAGGCUGUAAGAGAAAAUGAGGGAGAAGGAGAGAAACAUAAGACAGCUAAUGUGUAAAAUAUAGACAGAGGAAGGAGACGAACUCAGAAUCCGACGCUAGGCGUAGAAUCUUCGGAGACGGGCUGCGUUCCAUGGGUUCGGCUCGAGUCGGUUAUCCGAUGCAUUUCGCAGACGGUAUGCUCCGCCGGUCAGGACUUGGUCGAUGAUGAAGGGACCUUCCCAUUUGGUCUUGAGUUUGUCCUUUUUCUUGUCCGGCAGGCGUAGGACUAAUUCGCCAACAUUGUAAGUUUUGGCCCAUACUUCUCUGCUUUGAUAUCUUCGAGCCUGCUAUUGAUAGAAUGUGGAACGGGCUUUUGCCACGUCACGCUCCUCCUCCAAGGCGUCCAAACUUUCCUGCCGAUCGAGCUCGGCUUCUCUUUCUUCGUACAUGCGCACACGAGGUGAGUCAUGAAUUAUGUCGUAGGUCAGAACUGCCUCUGCGCCUUAUACCAUAAAAGAUGGUGUGAAUCUGGUAGUGCGAUUCGGCGUGGUCCGCAGCCCCCAGAGUACGGAGUCAAGCUCCUCUACCCAGUGUGUGUUAGAUUCCUUGAGGGAUCGCACUAAUCUGGGUUUGAUGCCGCUCAUGAUUAGACCAUUUGCUCGCUCGACUUGACCGUUAGUUUGAGGGUAAUAGAUUGAAGCAUAGUCGAGCUUAAUGCCCAUGUUUUUGCACCAGAGUUUGACCUCGUCGGCCGUAAAGUUCGUGCCGUUAUCAGUGAUGAUGUUGUGGGGGACGCCAUAACGGUGUACGACCCCUGAUAUGAAGUCUAUCACCGGUCCGGAUUCAGCCGUCUUAACAGGUUUGGCCUCUAUCCAUUUGGUGAAUUUAUCCACCAUGACCAGUAGGUAUUUUUGCUUGUGGGUUCCUCCUUUAAGAGGUACAACCAUGUCCAGCCCCCAGACCGCGAAGGGCCAGGUGAUGGGUAUAGUUUUGAGGGCGGUGGGUGGCAUGUGGCUUUGAUUAGCAAAGAGCUGGCAACCGACGCAUCGUUGGACUAAGUCCUGAGCAUCUGCCCGGGCCGUCGGCCAAUAAAAUCCUGUACGGAAGGCCUAGCCUACAAGUGCCCGGGCUGCAGCGUGGUGCCCGCCGAGUCCGGCGUGAAUUUCAGCCAGAAGAUUCCGUCCUUCCUCUUCGGAGAUACACCUUUGAAGGACUCCGGUUGUGCUUUUCUUAUAAAGCUCUCCAUCAUGGACCUUAUAGGAUUUAGAUCGCUGCACUAUGCAGCGGGCCUCGUUUUGGUCCUCGGGAAGUUCCUGCCUGGUUAGGUAGGCUAGGAAUGGUUCCGUCCACCAGGCGAUGACUGCCAUUAUUACGUGGGCUGAGGAUGUUACUUCGUUGCCAGAACCACCAAUUGUGUCAGAAUGUUCAGUGUCGGGCAGUGCGGUUGGGUCCGGGUUGUUAUUUCCGGACUCCCCCUCCCAUAGUACGGAUGGCUUGAACAGCCUCUCUAGGAAGAUGUUGGGAGGGACGGCAUCACGCUUUGCACCAAUGCAUGCCAAUACGUGUGCUGCCUGGUUGUUAUGCCGGGCUAUAUGGUGAAAUUUGAUCCCCUCAAACCGAGCUGACAUCUUUAGAACAGCAUUGCGAUAAGCUGCCAUUUUUGGAUCCUUUGCAUCGAAGUCUCCAUUUAUUUGGGAUAUCGCGAGGUUCGAGUCCCCGCGCACCUCUAGGCGUUGAAUGCCCAUGGAGACUGCCAUCCGUAGACCAUGUAGAAGGGCCUCAUAUUCGGCUGAGUUGUUGGAGUCCGUAUACAUUAUCUGGAGUACGUAUUGAACUAUAUCUCCGGUUGGGGACGUCAGAACGACGCCAGCCCCCAGACCAGCCAACAUUUUGGAGCCUUCGAAGUGCAUGAUCCAGUUGGAAUAUGUGCCGUACUCUUUAGGGAGUUCGGCUUCUGUCCAUUCGGCGACGAAGUCGGCCAAAACUUGCAACUUAAUAGCUCGUCGUGGCUUAUAGGUUAUGUCGAACGGGAGGAGCUCAAUGGCCCAUUUGGCAAUCCGUCCCGUCACGUCACAGUUGUUUAUAAUGUCGUUGAGGGGUACUUCGAAGGCUACUAUUAUCGAACACUCUUGAAAGUAGUGUCGCAGCUUCCGGGAUGCCAUAAACACCGCAUAUGCUAUCUUUUGAUAAUGCGGGUGCCGUGACUUGCAUGGAGUUAGGACAGUGGACACGUGGUAAACUGGUUUUUGAAGGGGGAACUUGUGUCCGUCCGUUUCUCGUUCGACAAUGAGCACCGCGCUUACAACUUGAUGAGUUGCCGAGAUAUAUAAUAGCAUUGGUUCACCCAUGUUGGGCGCGGCCAGGACCGGGUUUGUUGCCAAUAUGGCUUUUAUUUCUUCGAGUCCGGCCGUGGCGGCAUCCGUCCACUCGAAGUGUUCGGUGCGUCGGAGGAGGCGAUAAAGGGGUAAUGCCUUUUCUCCCAAACAAGAGAUAAAGCGGCUUAGAGCCGCCACGCACCCUGUCAAUUUUUGUAUUUGUUUGAGGUCCUUUGGGAUAUCCAAUUGUGACAACGCUCGGAUCUUGGCUGGGUUUGCUUCAAUUCCUCUACCGGAUACAAUGAAGCCCAAGAGCUUUCCGGCUGGUACGCCGAAAACGCAUUUUUCUGGGUUGAGCUUGAUGUCAUAUUUUCGGAGAUUAUCGAAUGUGAGCCUCAAGUCGUCUACUAGACUUUCGACGUGCUUGGUUUUGACGACCACAUCGUCUACGUAUGCCUCCACUAUUUUGCCGAUCUGGUUUGCCAGACAUGUCUGGAUCAUGCGCUGAUAUGUUGCGUCGGCAUUUUUGAACCCUAAGGGCAUUGUGUUGAAGCAGAAUGGGCCGUAUGGGGUGAUGAAUGCCGUUGCGGCUUGGUCAGGCUCUGCCAUCUUAAUUUGGUGGUAGCCGGAGUAUGCGUCGAGGAAGUACAAUGAAUCAUGUCCUGCGGUAGCGUCGAUAAUUUGAUUGAUGUGGGGGAGGGGGAAGGGAUCCUUUGGGCAAGCCUUGUUGAGGUCCUUGAAAUCGACGCAUAGGCGCCAGGAUUUGUCCUUCUUUGGUACCAUCACCAGGUUUGCUAGCCAGUCCGGAUGUUUUAUAUCUCUGAUGAAUCCGGCCUCUAAUAGUUUGGCUAGUUCCUCUCCCAUGGCCUAUCUCUUGGGUUCGGAGAAACGCCGAAGAGCCUGUUUGACUGGCUUGAAUCCUUUUAGGAUGUUUAGGCUGUGCUCGGCCAACCGGCGUGGGAUUCCUGGCAUGUCUGAAGGGUGCCAGGAAAAAAUGUCCCAAUUUUCGCGUAGGAAUUCUCGUAGAGCGGUGUCUACAUCAGGGUUUAAUUGUGCCCCGAUGGAGGCCGUUUUUGUAGGGUCCGUUGGAUGGACUUGGAAUUUGACUAUUUUUUCCGCCGGUUUAAAGGAGGUGGACUUGGAUCUCUUAUCGAGUAUCACAUCGUCCCUGUUCACCGUGGAGCGCAGCGCAGUGAGUUCCUCGGCCGCUAGGGCUUCAGAUAGUGCCUUAAGGGCCAGUGCGGCUGACUUAUUUUUGGCGCGGAGUGCUAUGUCCGGGUCACUAGCAAGAGUGAUGAUUCCGUUGGGCCCGGGCAUUUUGAGCUUCAUGUACCCAUAAUGGGGUAUAGCUUGAAAAAUUGUGAAUGCCUCUCGCCUUAAUAGAGCGUGAUAUCCGCUGCUGAAUGGGGCCACUUGGAACGUGACUUCCUCGGACCUAUAAUUAUCCGGUGUGCCGAACACCACAUCCAGUGUGAUUUUUCCUGUACAGCAUGCUUCCCGACUGGGGAUUAUUCCUCUAAAGGUUGUGCUGCUUUGCUCAAUGCGGCUCUAGUCUAUUUCCAUUUUUUGGAGGGUUUCCUCGUAAAUGAGGUUCAAUCCGCUGCCACCGUCCAUGAGUACCUUGGUAAGGCAAAAGUCGUCCACUAUUGGACUGAGGACCAAUGCGGCUGGUGCUCGGGCUGUUCGGAAUUUAGGUUCGUCACUGGCAUUAAAGGUAAUAGCCGUGUCACUCCAUGGGUUUAUUGUUGCUACUUGGUAGACUUCGGCGAGGCUGUGGAGUGUUCGUUUCCGCAUAUUAUUUGAUGCGAAAGUCUUGAAGACUGUUAAUACCGUAUUGGAUCCCUGGGCUGGUGCUCUGGAGUUAGAAGCUCUUCGCCACUUUUGGCCACUUGCCGUAGUAUCCAACAUGCUCUAAGGCUAUGAGUUGGAGUGGCGCCCUCUGUACUAUGAAUUUUGCAGGGUCCAUUGAGACAUCCCUCCAGUACGGUUCCAUGCCCUAUAGAGGGUUUUUGCUUUUUGGUAUUUAACCCAGGUGCCUGGCGAUGAUGCACCCUUUUAUUUCGGACUGGGGUUCUAUUCAGGGCCGGAUUGUCCCAAAAAUUGAUUUCGGUUUUCCAGGCGCUUUCCAUCGCACAGUACUUUCGUAUUAUGGACGCCAAGUCAGCGAAGCGUGUAAUUUCACGACGACUUAUGGCAUUGAGGAUUCCCUUGUCUGUGCAAUUAUUGCAGAAGUAUGAAAUUGCGUCCUCCUCCCGGCAAUCCUUUAUCCUGUUCAUGACCAGGAGGAAUCUGGCCCAGUAAUGAUGUAGUGUUUCUGCGGGCUCUUGCUAGAUUUGGGAUAGAUCGCUUAUGUUUGGGUGGGCGGGUGGAAUUAAAUUCGGAGCACCGUCCAGUUUAAGACUCAGAGGCCAAGAAGUUUCCGAAAUUGGAAGCUUGCGUCCUUGGAUGUUGUCCAAUGAAUCUAGCCCGCUGCCUGACUUUAGGUUCAGGGCUUGAGUGACGUCCUCCCCUCCGCGGGAAUCCAGCAUGGAGGGAUCAGGAAUCCGGACAUAGCUAGUCCUUAAGAUAGAAGAAGGGUCGCCGUAUUGUUCCUCUACCACAGCAACAUGGUGGGUAACCUGGGGAGAGUUAAUCUCUCUCAGAUUGGGUUUAGGCCCAAUCUGAUCGUAGUCUGUAGCGACUCCCAGGGCGGCGAUGCGAUCCAAGAGCUUGUUUAAGGAAGAGAGCUCCAUCGGAUCUAACUGCUCGGGGAGUUCCGAGUUAACGUGAAGAUUGCUUUCGAUGACCCGAGAAGUCAUCGUCGGAGCGGCGGCCGAAUAGGCGGUCAUAAGAAAACCGCCUAGCCGGAGAGUUUGGCCAAUGGCCAAAGCUCCUUUAGCGACUGAGAGAGUCCUGGACUAGGGGGUGUCCGGACAGCCGGACUAUCAUUAUCCGCCGGACUCCACGACUACGAAGAUAGAAGAUUGAAGACUCCGGCUCGUGUCCGGAAGGUACUUUCCUUGGCGUGGAAGGCAAGCUUGGCAAUACGGAUAUGUGGAUCUCCUACCAUUGUAACCGACUCUGUGUAACCCUAGCCUCUCCGGUGUCUAUAUAAACCGGAGGGCUUUAGUCCGUAGGACGAACAUUACAUCAUAACAAUCAUACCAUAGGCUAGCUUCUAGGGUUUAGCCUCCUUGAUCUCGUGGUAGAUCUACUCUUGUACUACCUACAUCAUCAAUAUUAAUCAAGCAGGACGUAGGGUUUUACCUCCAUCGAGAGGGCCCGAACCUGGGUAAAAACACUGUGUCCCUUGCCUCCUGUUACCAUCCGCCUAGACGCACAGUUCGGGACCCCCUACCCGAGAUCCGCCGGCUUUGACACCGACAUUGGUGCUUUCAUUGAGAGUUCCUCUGUGUCGUCGCCGAUAGGCUUGAUGGCAUCUUCAACCAACAACGCUGUCCUGGUUGAGACUUUUCUCCCCGGACAGAUCUUUGUAUCCGGCGGCUUUGCACUGCGGGCCAAUUCCCUUGGCCAUCUGGAGCAGAUCGAAAGCUACGCCCCUGGCCGUCAGGUCAGAUUCGGAAGCUUAAACUUCACGGCUGAUGUCCGCGGAGACUUGAUCUUCGACGGACUCGAGCCACAGCCAAGCGCGCGGCACUGUGACGAUGGGCACGAUCUAGCUCUACCGCCGGACAGUGCCUUGGUGGCCGCACUCGGAUCCGCUUCGGCCAUUAGCCCGGAGCCGAUCGCCCAUAUCGAGGGCCGGUUGGUAGACGCCGCCCUGGGGGCUUCAACACCCACGGCGAUGGAGCCGAACACUGAUCUUGUCCCCUGCGAAACCCGUGAUUCCGAGGCGCCGGACUCUGCGCCGGACUCCGAACCUCCCGCGCCCCUACCAAUUGAUACGGAUUGGGCGCCGGUCAUGGAAUUCACCACCGCGGACAUUUUCCAACACUCGCCUUUUGGCGAUAUCCUGAAUUCACUGAAGCAUCUCUCGCUAUCAGGAGAAUCCUGGCCGGACUAUGGCCAAGAUGGUUGGAGUUCGGGCGAUGGAAAAAUUCAGAGCCCACCCACCACCCACUUUGUAGCCACUGUCGAGGAUCUAACCGACAUGCUAGACUACGACUCCGAAGACAUCGACGCUAUGGACGACGAUGCUGGAGACGAACAGGAACCAGCGCCUACAGGGCACUGGAAGGCCACCUCGUCAUAUGACGUAUACAUGGUGGACACCCCAAAAGAAGGGGAUGGCGAAGAAGCAGCGGAGGCAGACUCUUUAAAGAAGCAGCCCAAACGCCGGCGUCAGCGGCGCCGCUCUAAAUCUCGCCACAGCAAGAAUAUAGAUUCCGGCACAGGAAAUAACAAUACCCCAGAGAGUGCCGAAGACAACCCCCUCCAGCAAGACCCAGCGCAGGAGGAUGCAGAAUCAAGCCCUCACGAAAGGGCGGCAGACGAAGAGGUUGAGGAUCAUAACUAUAUACCUCCCUCCGAAGACGAGACAAGCCUCAAUGACGACGAACUCGUCGCGCCCGAGGACCCCGAUGAACAAGAGCUUUUUAAGCGCAGGCUCAUCGCUACAGCAAGAAGCCUGAAGAAAGAAAAGCGGAAGCUCAAAACAGCGGAAGACACACUCCGAAUAAGAUGGAGCAAAGUACUCAAAACCGCAGAUAAAUACGGCAAUGGCCACCAAUCGAAGAGCUACCCGAAGCGUAAGCUGCUUCCAGAAUUUGACGAGGAGGCCAUAGAGCCCCCACCGUUGGCCCAGCCAGGUCCAUCUACGGACCCAAAAAGAAAGCCCUAAGAGGCAAAGCAACACGUCAAGUGUCCGACGAUAGCGGCACAUACAAGUACAGGGGCGCCGCACACCCACUAUGUUUCACCGACGAGGUGCUGGAUCAUGAAUUCCCAGCAAGGUUUAAACCCAUAAACAUAGAAGCCUACGAUGGAACAAUAGACCCUGGAGGCUGGAUAGAAGACUAUAUAUUGCAUAUACAUAUGGCCAGGGGAGACGAUCUCCACGCCAUAAAAUAUCUACCCCUCAAGCUCAAAGGGCCAGCCCGUCAUUGGCUCAAAAGCCUCCCAGAAAACACUGUUGGAAGUUGGAAAGAGCUCGAGGCAGCGUUUAGAGCAAAUUUUCAAGGGACCUAUGUCCGUCCCCCGGUUGCAGAUGAUUUAAGUCAUAUAACUCAACAGCCCGGAGAGUCAGCGCGGAAAUUCUGGAACAGGUUCCUCACCAAAAAGAACCAAAUAGUCGACUGUCCGGACGCCGAAGCCUUAGCAGCUUUCAAGCACAAUGUCCGAGACGAAUGGCUCGCCAGACACCUCGGUCAAGAGAAACCGAGGACAAUGACCAGAUUAACAAGCCUCAUGACCUGCUUCUGUGCGGGAGAGGAUAGCUGGCUAGCAAGAAGCAGCACCAGCGACCCAAGUACAUCCGAGAUAAGAGAUGGAAACGGAAAAUCACGGCGCAGAAAAGAGCAGCGCCGGAAUAAAGAGAAAAGCCCAAAGAGCACGGCAGUCAACGCCGGAUUUAAAAGCUCACGGUCAAAUAGUAAAACACAACCUCUAAAGGAUGACAGUGACGAAUUGUCCAACUUAAAGAAGAUUUUGGGUCGGAUAUGUCAAAUCCACAGUACCCCCAGAAGGCCUGCAAAUCACACCCACAGGGAUUGUUGGGUUUUUAAACAGUCCGGCCGACUGAAUGCCGAACACAAGGGGCUCGACGCGUCAAGCGAAGAGGACAAACCCCACCAGCAGAGCACCGGAAAACAAAAGACUUUCCCACAAGGGGUUAAAGCAGUAAACUCACUUCAUGUGAUAAUACGGACAAAUAGUGCGGCACUUUCUAAAAGGAGCUUCGCACGGUCCAACCCAGC